Molecule: long non-coding RNA, 53659 nt
Filed under: Coffea arabica (coffee)
Lineage: Eukaryota; Viridiplantae; Streptophyta; Magnoliopsida; Gentianales; Rubiaceae
Description: long non-coding RNA (CARA_LNC000330)
Source: RNAcentral
CGGGGGCACCUUCCUCUAUCAAAGACUGGAAGCGUUACUUCUUCUUUGUAAAGAACCUGAGCUUUCCCCCUCUGACAUGGAGGGCGGAGACUCAGGUUUCGGAUCCCACUUCCAGACCCGCUUCCUGUAGCUGAGCUCAGCCGCCUACUCAGCUCAGGCGAGAAGCUGGAGGUGAAAGAGUUCAGCAACGCCCAGCUUUGGGCGGCGGGGUUGAUCCGAGCCAACCCCUCAGAUCCCUCGCCAGAGAAUAGGCCGCUCUCACCAGAUGAGCUGACCUCCUGUAAACGACCUGGCCUUCCUUUUCUUUCUCCUCUUGGUUUUAUGUACCCACUGACCUUCUGGUCUUCUGUUCUUUGCAGUGAAGAGGUUUUCUUCCCUUCUCACCAUCGGAGGAGCCAGCAAUCCAGGUGCUACUACCCAGCCCUCCUCAGCCAUUCCGGCCAGCUCGACGCCAGGUCCAACGCCUCAGCCAGCUCCUGCCCAGUCCGCCAAAGCUGUCGAGGCGAGGAAAAAGAAGAAGAAGAAGACAACUGCAAAGAGGGCUAGAGUGGAGACGACCUCCUCCCCAGUUCAGGAAGAGAGGUCGACGCCGGAACCUGGUCAGGGCGGUCACUACGGCGUGAAUACCGCCGAGGAGCAAGCUCGUGCUGGCGCUCCUCCUAAUUUAUGGCAGCGCCAGAGCUCCACCCUGCUGUUCGACCCGCAGACGCGGCUGAUCACGCACCAACACCCUAUGCACUUCUGCCCCCAGUGGAAGCUUUCCAUAAACGACCGAGCUCAAUUCCCUGAGGUGGCCAGGGAGCUUGCUCAUGGGGCCAUCCUUACAAGGGACCUUAGCUUGGUUAAGGCCAUGGAGGCAUCUGACCUCCUCGACUAUUAUUACACAGGCGCGGCCCAGGUGAACUUGGUUGGAUCCGAGCUGGCCAAGCGCUACGAGGGCCUCCUCCCCCUGAUGAGCGAGACGAGGGCGGCCAACGAGAAGCUGCUCAGCCAGAACGAAGCAGUUGUGGCCGAAGCUGAAGGCCUGAGGAAGCAGCUCGCCCAAGCUCACUCCAACUUCGAACUGGAGCUGAAGAAGAACUCCGACCUGACCUCUCAGCUGAAUGAGGACCAGAAGAGGAGCACCGAACUAUCUGCUCAGGUCGAGGCGGCUAGGACUGAGGGAGGCCAAGAGGGCGUACGGGCCUUCCUCAGGUCGGAGGAUUUCAGGGGCGACCUGGCCAUCCUAAACACCCCAGUGCUGCAACAUGGGUAUUCCCAAGCCCUGGAGGAGGUGCAAAGGCUGGGCCUGCCUGGGUUUGAUCUGGGCAAGUUUCCCAGUUACAACCCCUUGGCCGUGGAGCAGCUCGACCGCCUGGUGGAAGGCUACACGCACGGACGAAAGUUGGCUGACCUGGUCGCCGAUCCCUUGCUGCCAGUGACCACUCCUGAAUCCGAGCAAGAGGAAGAAGAGGGCGAGAACUAGAAGAACUAGAGUAGGAUUUUUAGGGCUCAAACUGUUAGUAGACAGUUCAUUUUGUAAGAGCUCAGACCAUUGUACAGUUUUUGCUUGAAUGAAAUGAAGAACUUUUCCUUUGUUCCAUACUUAGCCGCAUUUGUAAAACUUUUCGUCAUAACUUUAAGAUACAUCAGUUCGGCCCAUCGCCGACCUAAAUGAGCUAUCCCCUAUAACAAAAUAACUUAUUAACGAAAAACAUCAAUAUUCAUAAAAGUCUUGACCUUGAAACGAGCUAUCAUGCGCGAUUUUAACGAAAGAUCCUCAAGUUGGAGUUGUGCCAGGUACGAGGGACCUCCUCCCCGCCGAGGUGGGCUAACUUGCAGUACCCAGCUCGAUCUGCCUCUUUCACCACAUAGGGACCCUCCCAGUUUGGGUCCAGCUUGCCUAUGCCCUGAAGCCGACUUACACUGUUCUUCCUCAAAACCAGGUCCCCUGGCUUAAAAGACAGAGGCCUUACCCUAGCAUUGUAGUGUCGCGCGAUCUGCCUUUUAUACUUAGCCAUACGUAUAGCCGCCUCUUCUCUCCUUGCUUCCAGCAGGUCCAAGUUAAGACGUAACUCUUCCUCAUUGUCCCGAGCUAUGAAAUUCUGAACCCUACCCGAAGGAACUCCUAUCUCCGCAGGGAUCACCGCCUCUGCUCCGUAGGUCAGAACAAAAGGAGUCUCCUGGGUAGCAGUUCGGGGAGUGGUUCGGUAAGCCCACAGUAUGGUUGGCAGCUCUUCCAACCACCCAGUUCGAGCAAACUCCAUUCGUGUCUUCAAGCCGUGCAGGAUGGUUCUGUUGACGUUCUCCACCUGGCCAUUGGCUUGAGGGUGGCCUACCGAAGUGAAGUGCUGCCGGAUCCCGAGCUCCGAACACCAGCCUUGAAGAGCACUAUCAGUGAAUUGGCGUCCGUUAUCUGAGACCAGGACACGGGGUAUACCAAAUCGGCAAACGAUGUUUUUCCAGAGGAACUUUUGCACCGACCUGCUGCUAAUGGUAAUAAGGGGCUCGGCCUCCACCCACUUGGUGAAAUAAUCUACAGCCACCACUACAUGCUCAUAACCCCUCGGAGCUCGGGGAAAAGGACCUAACAGGUCGAUUCCCCAUUGGAAAAAGGGCCAAGGGCUCUGAAGAGGCAUCAUCUCCUGGGUUGGAGCGUGAUGGAUCGGCGCGUGCAUCUGGCAGGACUUACAUCGAGCUACCAGCUCGGCUGAAUCCGAGAACAUGGUCGGCCAAUAGUGCCCGGACAGCAUUCCCUUCUUGGCCAAAACCCUUGGGCCGACGUGGUUUCCACAGAUGCCCUCGUGCAGCUCACGCAGGAUGUAGUCUCCCUCCUCCGGAGUGAUGCACCUCAGCAACGAGCGUAGGUAAGAUUUCUUGUAAAGUACCCCAUUCGAGAGCUCGUACCCCCGCGACCUGAGGAGAACCCUCCGUGCCUCUACUCGGCUUGGAGGGAGCUCUCCACCAGCCAGGUACCGCACUAUGGGAUCCAUCCACGAGCUUAUUACCUGAAUAACAGCUGCUUCGAGCUGGUCAUACGCCCGAUUUCUGACAACCUCCACCAGGACCUCUUUGUUCAACGUGCCGACCGAGGUGGAAGCUAGCUUGGACAGAGCAUCCGCUCUCUUAUUCUGGCUUCGCGGGACCUGCUUAAGCGUGAAUGCCUUGAACUGGGUUCUCAGCUCAUGUACCUUGGCGACGUAUCUCCUUAAGGGCUCCUCUUUAACUUCGUAACUUCCCCCGACCUGGUUGACUAUCAGCUGUGAGUCGCUGUAGACUUCUAUUGACUCAGCCCCCAGCUUCCGGGCUAUCAUCAUCCCCGCGAUCAGAGCUUCAUACUCGGACUCAUUGUUGGAGGCUCUGAAAUCAAAUCUCAGGGCGUAGGCCAACUCAUCCCCCAAGGGGCUGGUCAGGAGAAGUCCCGCUCCGCAUCCGUCCUUGCUUGAAAAUCCAUCCACGAACAGUGUCCAGGUCGGGAUGGUCUGAUCGACCUGGCCCGUAGCCUGUUCAGCCUCAACAGCCUCUUUGACCUGUUCGGCCUUGGCUUCCUUUGUGGCCUGUCCGACCCCGGCAAGUCCCUCGGCCUGCUUGGCCUCGACUGCGUCUAUGGUCUGUUCAGUCAUGGAAGUCUGAGUGCCUUUCACGACCUCGGCAGCUUCCCCGACCUGCCUGGCCUCAGCUACGUCUUGGGUCGACUUGGUCUCGGCGGCCUGCGCGACCUCGACAGUUCCUCUGGCCUGCACAGCCUUGACUGCGCCACUGGUUAGCUCGGCUUGCAACUGUUCUUGCCCAAAGGAGAUUCCUUCGGCUAUGAAAUCCGCCAAUGCUUGAGCCUUAAUGGCCGUGCGGGGUUGGUAGCUGAGAUCGUAUUCAGACAGCUCCACGGCCCACCUUACCAUUCUUCCUGAUGCAUCAGGCUUUGAGAGAAUUUGCUUGAGAGGUUGGUCGGUCAUGACCACCACGGGGUGAGUUUGCAAGUACGACCUGAGCUUCCGGGUCGCGUGCACCAAUGCUAGAAUAUACCGCUCAAUUGAGGUGUACCUCUGCUCCGCCCCCUGCAAAGCUCGGCUGACAUAGUAUAUGGGUUUCUGAAUUUUACCUUCUUCCCGAACUAGUACCGCACUGAUCGCCUCCUCCCCAACUGCUAGAUAGAUGAAUAAGACUUCUCCUUGUGCGGGAGAGGUCAAAGCUGGCAAGCGUGCGAUGUGGGCUUUGAGCUCGUCAAACGCGAGCUGGCACUCGGGAGUCCAUUCGAACUGGGGACCUCUUCGCAGGGCCCUGAAGAAGGGGUAAUCCCGAACGGCUGACUUCGACAGGAACCUGUUCAGGGCCGCCAUCCUGCCAGCUAGCCGCUGGACCUCUUUUAUGUUUCGGGGAGGAGCCAUGUCCAUGAUAGCUUUCACCUUGUCGGGAUUAGCUCUUACCCCGUGCUUGGAUAUCAUGUACCCCAGAAACUUGCCCGACCUAACCCCGAAGGUGCACUUCUUGGGGUUCAGCCGCAUUCGCGAGCUCCGUAGGACGUCAAAGAUUUCUCUGAGGUCGUUGAUGAACUGCUCCUGAGUUCGGCUUUUCACCAGCAUGUCAUCCACGUACACCUCCAUAUUUCGGCCGAUCUGGUUUUUAAACAGCUUGUUGACCAGCCGUUGAUAGGUCGCGCCUGCAUUUUUCAAUCCGAAUGGCAUAGUGGUAUAACAAUACGUACCGUAUUCGGUGAUGAAGGCAGUCUUCUCCUGAUCUGCCUCGUCCAGAGCAAUCUGGUGAUACCCCUUGAAGGCAUCCAAAAAGCAGAAGAUCUCGUACCCAGUGGUCGAGUCGACUAGCUGGUCGAUGCGAGGGAGGGGGUAACAAUCCUUCGGACAGGCCUUGUUCAGGUCGGUGAAAUCUACGCACAUCCUCCAGGCCCUGUCCUCCUUUUUGACCAGCACAGGGUUGGCCAGCCAGGUCGGAUAGUAGAUCUCCUUCACAAUUUUGGCCUCCAACAACUUGCCUACCUCUUCCUUGACGAUCUCGUUGCGCUCAGGAGCGAAGUUCCUCUUCUUUUGCUUCACUGGCCGGAUGUUUGGGUCAACGUGCAGCUUGUGAACUGCCAGCUCGGGAGAGACUCCGGGCAUGUCAUCAGCGCUCCACGCGAAGAUCUCGGCGUAUUCCUCCAGCAAGGACUCCAGAGCUCUCCGUGUCAGCUCGCUCAGACCAGCUCCGGUUUUUACCACGCGAUCAGUUCGCUCGGGGCAGAUCGACAACUCGACCAGACUCUCAUCCGUCUCCAACCUUUCCUCCUUUUCAGCAGGCUCCCAGGGCUCCAGACAGAUCGUCUGGGCCACCAGUUUCUCCUUACCUUUGAGGGUUGCAAUGUAACAGGCCCGAGCUACCUCCGGGUCCCCCAGCACCUCGGCCACCCCCUCAGGCGUCGGGAACUUCAUACUAAGGUGUAGGGUCGAGCAGACAGCUCGGAGAGCGUUGAGGGUUGGUCGCCCUAGUAUCAUAUUGUAGGAAGACGGCUCCUUUACUACCGCGAAAUUCACCGGGACAGUUCGGCACUUCGGUGACUCCCCUACCGUGACCAUGAGGGUUAUCAUUCCCUCUGGUCUAACCGGCGGACCUGCAAAACCUAUCAAGGGAGUCCGAACUGGGAUGAGCUGCUUGUCUUCCAGCUGCAAUUCCUUGAAGGUUUUGUAAUACAGCACAUCGAUGGCACUCCCAUUAUCGAUGUACACCUUCUUUACCUUAUAGUUGCACGUGAUAACUUCUAUCACGAUCGCCUCAUGAUUAUUAGAGGCUAAGGGUACCGCGUCCUCUGGCCCGUAGAUGAUUUCCUCGUACAUCUUCAAACGUUUGCUCGAGCUUUCUCCGCUAGGGGGAGGUCGGUUGUUUCGUUGAGCCGUGUGGAUGUCUCCUCCAGCAGGUCCCCCUGCAAUAGUGUUGAUUACUCCAGCUAGGUUCUGAACCCCCUGCUCCGGAGUACGAUCACGAGGACCUCGAGGCCGGUCGUGCGAACUGGCCGUCCGAUCUCGCUUGAACCCUCCUGGCUUCUGGUCCGUUCGCCCGUCACGGACGAACUGUCCGAGAUGACCUCUUCGUAUCAGUUUUUCGAUCUCCUUCUUAAGGUGUCGACAGUCCUCAGUAUCGUGCCCGACAUCCCUGUGGUAAGCACAAUACAAACCCUGAUCUCGCUGGGUUUUGUCGCCCCCCAGCGGCCGAGGAGGACGAGAGAUCCCUUGCUGUUCCAUCACGGCCAGAACCCGAGCCCUGGGCGCGGUGAGCGAAGUCCAGGUCUUUUCCUUCUCCCAAGGUCGGCUCCGAGGUAAGCGCUCGGAUACGCUCUUUCGGUCCUGACCUGGCCGUGACUCCCCCAGGUCGGCACCCCUCUUUCGCUUGUCAUCCCGCAACCUUUCCUGGGCGCCCUUCAGACGGUUGGCCUCCUCGGCAUUCGCCUUCUCGUGGGCUCGAUCUAGCAUCUCCCGGACGGACUUGGGAGGUCUUUCUACGAACUCCGUAUACAACUUCUGCUUGCGCAACCCGUUGACGAAGGCAGCCAUCACCACCUUGUCAUCUCGGUCCCGCACCUGAAGGGAUUCGUUGUUAAACCGUACCAUAUACUCACGCAAUGACUCCUCGGGCCCCUGAUGGACAGUCAUCAGAUGAGCCGUGGUUUUGGAAUAAGCGCGGGAGGAAACGAACUGGGCCGCGAACAGCCGCGCGAGCUGGCUGAACGACCGAACUGACCUGGGAGGCAAACCCUGAAACCAUUGUCGGGUCUUUCCUUCCAAGAACAUCGGAAAGGUCUUGCACCUGACCGCAUCAGCAGCUGUCUGAAGGCGCAUCUGAGUCAGGAAUGCAAACAAGUGAUCCUCCGGAUCUGUGGUCGCGUCGUAGGACUUCAUGGAUGGUAUUUUGAACUUGGCAGGCAGAGGGUAAUCUUCGAUAUCCGGUAUGAAGGGAGAUGCAGUGUACCUAUCCGCCUCUGGAUCCAGCAGGAGAUCCAGUUCAUCCUGGACCUGAUAAUCCUCCUUCCUGUGAGGGAUCUCCAUCCGAGAAAGCCUCAGAACGGGCUCCGGAUGGCUAGUUCGGGAAUUCCUAUGAGAGGGCUCUGGCACCUGGACCUGCUCGCGUGUAAUCUCCCUUCGCGCCCUCUUCGACCUGGGGCUUCCAGAUCGAGAUUCCGAACUCCCUGUUCUGCCCGUUUUUCGCACCCGACGCUCCGGACUGGGAGGGACUCCAGAUUGUCCCUUCACCGCACCAGAUUGUCCAGAUUGUCCCUUCAGGUACGUCACAAUAGCCUCAAAGGUAGGCAAGUUCGCGGCAACCGACUGCACCAGUUGUUCCGGCGAGAUCUGCGAGAGCUCGACCCUUACCUCCCCUGUGUUGGCUUCCUGGUGAACUGGUUGGGGGCCGCCCUGAGCGCCCCCUUCAGUACCAUCCACAUUCCUCUGAGAUCUAGUCUUCGGCAUGUUGUUCGCGAAAAAAAGAGAGAAGAAAACGUUUCCCACAGACGGCGCCAAUUGAUGCGACUGCCGAAGUGAUGAUCCGAAUUGAGCUAGGUUCGGAGGAACGAGCUGGUUGAAUGUCCGACCUGCACGUGAGCGAGCUGCGGGGCUAGGUCCCCUGAAGCAACUCCGACGAUCAAGUCAGAACUGGCUCGUAAAUAAAAGAGUAGAGAUUGUACUAUCAGUAGCGUACCUUGUGUUUCUUCUGGGUGUGGUAUUUAUAGAACACCAGGUGGUAGUUUCCUGGUAGGACAAGGAGUCCUCAUUGGAGAGGACUAGUUUCUAGGGCUCUACGACCCAGGUCUGAAGACGUGGCCUUCACGGUCCAUCAAGCCCAUCUGCCUAAGAGGCGACGCCCGCAGGGGGCUGCAAGCUGACCUGACACUCCAGCCCAGCCCCUCCAGUCCGAGCUCGUGGGCUGGACUGACGUGUGUAUGGACCGGGCCGAUGUGCGCCUGGGCCCCACUACAAUUAUCGUUGAAAAAUCAAAGAGGAAGCAUAUUGCAUAGGGAAAACAAAGAGAAUUAUCACUUGUUUUCUGUUGUUAGCAAAAGGAAGACGAGGACAUGUACGAAAAAGUGUGGAUCGCACUUUCUUCUCUAGUUAAUUGCUGUCUUCGAAUAUAACUGUAGCAUUUCGAAGAAAAACAAAAAGGUAGUAGCAGUACUGAAGUUCUUCAAACUUCAAACCCUUUUGCAUUAAGUUAGGAUAGCUGGUGUAUUGAAUUUGUCUGCCCGAUCUGUUGCAUCCAACCUGCAGAUGUCUACUCCAAAUUCUGUUAAAGAAGCAAAUAAUGCGGUGAUGAUGACGAAACCAUUCAUGCCAGCUCCCCAACCAACCCCGUAAUGUCUUUUCUCAUUCAACCAGCCCGAUCAUGUCACUUUCCCUCCCGUGUGGGCGGGUGUGCAUUCUCUUACUGAAGACCUUUUCCUUUAUGAGGGAGAGCAAGAGAAACUAACUGUAGAGUGUAGAUACCAUAAUAUAUCACACCGUGUUGUCUUUGUGAAAUGGAUAGAAAGGAACUUGAUACAUUUCCAUUCAAAGUCUCUUACAUAUUAUGAUUUCUUGUAAAGUGUUAAAUAUGUUAUUUUUGUCCCUAUUAAGUUACAUCCACCUUAAUUUAAUGACAAUUGAAAAAUACCACCAUACAUCAUUGUAAAAUAAUUGUAAUGAAGAAAAUAUUGGAACGCUUCUCAAAUUGAGUAUAGGUAGAGACAUUAAAAUAAACCUAAUAAUAGCUGUAGUUGUGUGCUCUGGGAUUUCCCCUAAAGCCUAACCAUUGCCAGAGAUUAUUAUGAGUACUUAGUAUUGUAGCCAAAUCAUAGCUACAAGUUGUUCGGGACUAUUGCUAUAGCAACCGUCCUGAGCCCUGCGGCCCUAGUCUCUCAGACAUUAGACAUCAGCAUGACAACUUUGGAUUUGCACACUGUUACUUCCUCGCCCUGAUCUGACGCUCUAUCGUUUAUAUCAUCUGUACUUUUCUCUCCAUCUAUUUAUAUCCUAAGUUGGAGCCCCCAAGUUUCACACAAAUCAGUGCGGCAUUGCAAUUGUACCAAAAAGGUGAAAAAAAAAUGUCUCCGUCAAAUUCAACCAGAUGGUGUCCAACCCCAGAGCAGCUAAUGAUUUUGGAGGAAAUGUAUAGAGGAGGCAUAAGAACACCAAAUGCUUCUCAAAUACAAAGGAUCACGGCCCACCUUUCUUUCUAUGGCAAAAUCGAGGGGAAGAAUGUAUUUUACUGGUUUCAGAACCACAAAGCCAGGGAGAGACAGAAGCUAAGAAGGAAACUGAGCAAGCAACCAUACCAACAACAACUAUUACAGGAGCAGCUGUGCCUCCAUCGAUGCCAUAAUCAAGAAAACAAGUUUCUUAGCUCAAAUGAAUCUCCUCCUCCUGCUCUGCAUCAGCUAUCCCUCGACAAGUCAGCUGAUUAUCUUCAUCCGGUAAUCUUAAAUCUAAACUAAUUGCAUCAUUUUAUUUUUAUUUAGACGGCUGAAAAUUAAAAUGCAUGCAAGAGCUAAGCUAGUGGGCAGGUUUUAAGUACAUUAACAGCAGCACAAAUUCCAAAUAAUUUUUUUCCUUUCUUAUUUUUUUAAGUGGUGUAAUUGUCAUAUCUUAUGGUAUUUCCGACAUUCUCGUUUACUUAGAGUAGGACUAGAAGACAUAUUUCUUGACUCCGUUAAAGCAAGGGUGACCUGUAACGCAAGUCUUUUAGUUUUUUUUUUUUGUUUUUUCUGGCUAUUCCGUUUGGGAAAACUUGGAUCCUCGGUCCAAGUCCUAAUACAAAUUCAUGGAAGUACCAAAAAGAACAAACGAGGUUCGGAAGAUUGUAAAGUUAGGCAAAUUUUCAGUCUGCAACUAUGUGUGACUGGAUCAUGCAUGCACACUAAAAAUGUUCUUAGGCCUUUUGGAUCUGUGUCGAAUGAAUUGGAUUUGCUAUCCAGCCAUCAACAGAUAAAGGAAGUAACUAAUUGGUUAUCUUUAACACUAACAGGGUGGAGUUGGCAGUGCAGCAGCACAUAUGACCAGCUGCACAUGGAAGAGGGAUCCUCCAAACAUGUACGAAUUGCAAAAUACUAGCAUGAUGAGAAGUUAUGGUGAUGAUUGGACGAUGAUGAUGUUGAAGAUGAGAGACGCGGGUCCUACUCAUUAUCCCUCUUGCUGCAGCAGUAAUAGACCCCUGAAAACCCUAGAACUCUUUCCCAUCACAACCCAAAAUGUCAAAGAUCAUCAGGCCACCACUUCCAACCCUAGCCGUAACUCAUACUCGUGAAAGUUGGAAAAGGUAUCCCAUAUAUGUAAUCAUGGCACGUCUUGCCUAACUUCAAUGGAUCACAUGUAACAGAAUAAUAAAACGGGCAGGUUGCUUAAUUCUGUGUAUUUCAUUGAGAGUUAGCUUUAGGUACGGCGUGUGAUGGAUGACAUUUAUGGGAUACCAUUUUCAUGACUUAUGACUUAUGUACGAUAAUAUCUUAUCUCUUUUAUUUUAUUCCUAUGUUGGAUAAGAAUGGAGAUAGAGAUGAGAAUAGUAUAGGCUAUAGGCUUGAAUUUUUCAUCUUCCAGUGAGUACUAUUACUUUGUUUAUCGUGUUGCGUGGUUUCUGUUACGUUUUCCUGUGGACUUGGAAUUGUCUGAAUUGUCUAAUUUGCGGUAAAUGGUAUUCAUGCAGUGCUUACUGACCUUUGAAAAUGUUCACCCUGCCCUGCAACUACCACUAUUUGAUUGUAUGCGCGGGACUUGUUUACUCGUACUAAACUAGAUUCUGCACAAACUGGAUCCAGCUUGUCUUAUACUACUAUUCUUAUGUAUAGCUGCUAUGGCUCAAUUUCUGUCCUGCCAUAGAAGUGUAGAAGAUGUGACCAUAUAUAUCAGGCUUUGUUAACUAAUAUAUCCAUGGGAAAAUAGACUGCUGGACAAGUCAAUGCAUGCACAUGCAUAAUCCACAGAUUGCAGAUAGGGGCAUGAUAAAAGAAAGGGAUAAUUUCAUAAACCUCCCCUAAGGUUUCUGAUAAUUUCAACCAUCUCUCUUCAGGUUUGAAAAAUUACACUUACCUCCCUUGAUGUUAUGAAAAGAUUACGAUAGCCUUGACAAAUCUACAAAUUCUAAGUAAAAAGUGGGUGUAAAGAAUAAAAAAUCGCAUCUUGCAAAUGUUUCUUUAAUCAAAAGCUCCAACCUCAAUCUAUUAUAUUUAAUUCAAUUCUUAAGUUAUUUAAAUGAACUUCUUACUUAAUUUAUAAACAGCCGACUAGCAAGGAUGUAUUUGUUAAAAAUAGUUUCUUCACGAUUUACUUAGCAAAGGGGGAAAAAUUGAUGCCUUGAAACAUGGGCUAAAUUUUUUUGCAAAGAACUACCUUAAAGUUUUUUUUACUUUGCAAGUAACGCUAAUAUUUGAUUUCUUUUUCAUUUAAUUUAUUUUUAAAUUAAAUAGAGGCAAUAUAGGAUAUUCAUUAGACUUUUUGUGCUUACAUUACCAUUUGUUAACAAAACAUACUUUCUAGGGGAAGUUUCUACAAUUUUUCAAAUCUCAAAGAAAGUGAUUGGAAUCAUUACAAACCCCAGAGAGGUUUCUGAAAUUAUCCCUAAAAAAAAAGGAAAGUUAUUUUUUUAGUUACAAUUGAAAUAUGUUUUUUACAGGUUAAUUCCACUUUGCAUCCUUCAAGUAUAUUGAAAUUUCUACUUUGGUUUCUAAACUUCAAUACGGAAUACUUUAGCCCCUUAAUAUUAAUAUAAGAAUUAGUCCUCCUUAAGUAAAAUGGUUGAUAGAAGUGGGAUAAAUUUUAUAUUUAAAUAGGACAGAUUUUAUAUGCUAGGGACUAAAUUGAGAUAGAUUAUAUUUUGAGAACUAAAGUAGAAAAAAUUGCAUACUUUAGGAACUAAAGUGUGAUAGAUUUUAUACUUUAGGAUUUAAAGUGUCCCAUUUUAAAAUUUAUGAACCAAAAUAAUAAUUCGAGUAUAGUUGAAAAGUGUAAAGUAAAAUUAAUUCAUUUUUAAGCUGCAAUUGGAAUGAAGCUUACAUGGAAAAAAAUUUUAAAAUUAAUAUUAUAACAGGUUUUAUGUGAGACAAAAAAAAUAGUAGAAAAACAUAUAUAUAUGACGCAACGAAAAAAUUUUCACGGAAAAAUGGUCACACUGUCACACCACUCUGCAUUUAGAAUGUCGAUAACCAUAUAGAGGCUCCCUACUUUGGAAUCAAAACUUAGGGUCUGAGUCUAGCAAAUUGGUGAGAUUUGAAAAGGGAUCUAGGAGUAGAAGAUGGAAAUUCAAUAGAAGAAGGAAUUCUUCCCAUUAAUGGUGAAAAGAUAGAUGCUUGUGUGUGGUGACUGUUUGGCGUGAAGUACAUCUCCUGAAACGAUGAUAUGAAGGGUGGAAAUGGAUCAGCCUGGAUUUCGUGUGACACUUCGAGGCUUGGUGGGAACAAUACGUUGCACUAUAGUUUUCUCUUGGGGCAUGUCCCAGCGGGGAUCAUUUUUGAGAAUCCCUACUACUGCUGGGUGAAGAAUAUCUAACAAGAGAAAAACAUAAGAGAUAGCAGAUGGCAAUAGGAUAUUCCUUCCAAAUUAUUAUUGUGUUGCAUUUAAUUUUCACACUGUUAUUUUCAUGUUUUGUAGUAGCAAAAAGCAAAAUGAUCUGACUCUUUCUUCUGAUCAGUAUCCAUCUGAGACAUUGUCGUGUGUCUCCAGCUUUGAAAGGUCAAUUUCCACAUUUUCCCGCACUAUCAUAUCGUUUCCAAAGUUUCUUGACAGAGGUUGUGUAAAAAUAAAAUAAUCAUAAAAAGAGUAGAAGUUACCAGUAGACAUUUACUAAUUAGCAUGACGAAACUAAUCGGAAAGUGAAAAAGCUUGAAAAGGGACUCAAGUGGGCAGUCUUGGUUGACUGGAUUCUUGACUCCGAUCGGUACGUGGCCAAGUUUAGCUGCUUUUCCAUAUAAAUCUGAUUUAGCUGCUUUAAAGUUUUCAUUCGAACCAAACGGACCAGUGGCAAAAAUUCUGCAGCCGAGGCAAAAAGGAACGAAUGGGUUAAGAAAUAAGAAAAACGGAAGGGUUCUAUCCUGUAGGAGCACAUCCGACUCCUCUCGUGGAUGAAUUAAAGGUCCAUUUGCCCUAAUACGUGUAUUAUUUUUAACGUAGAAUCAUAGUAAUUUCAAGAAAUAUGAAUGAUAGUAUAACUAUUUCUGAACGAUAUAAUAAAUUUUUAAUACUUUGCAAUUUAUUAUUAUAUAUGACUUGUGCACUUCUAUAAUCAGAUGUUUUAUUCGUUAUCGUUACCAUAGAUCUUGUAUUGUAUAUUAGCUACUGCUAAUAUAGACUUUGUACAUAUUUGUUAUGUCAAAGAUAAAAGUGGAAUUUUUUUGAUCCGCACAAUUUGAAUUUGAUUUUAUUGACCAAUUGUGGAUCAGCCCUUUAUCCAAUAGCAAUCAAGAAAACUAUAUUGCUGAUUAGACCAAUGGCUCAUCAGGGAGCCCUUGGUAUCCAAUACUCCCUUGGUUUAAUACCAAGAAAGGCUUCCCCUCCCCCUAAAUUAUACUGAAAAAAAAAAAAAGAAUGCUGAUUAGAUUGUACAAGCCUGUGGCCAAUAUUUCAAAACAUGGAAAGCAUCACCCAGGCGAGACGAGGCCUGUUUCCAGUCAGAAAAAGACGAAGGAAUAACUAUGCACGAUGGUAUCUUCCCGGCCCCCUCCCCUUGAAAAUAGGUUUUAUGCUAUAAAAUUCUGAGAUACAGUACGAUGUAUAAAGUGAGGAUUGACCAAAACGAUUGUAUCAAUUGCUACAAGGAGCUUGUUAUAUGUUGUAUGAUUUGAGAAUUGACCAAGAAAUAUUAUAUGAGGAUUAUUUUCUUGAGGAAGUAGUAUUAUAUGGAAAAUAGUGUAUUUUUGAACAUUUUCUUGAGGAUUAUGGAUGGUUUUCAUACUUUCAUUGGGGUAGCUGGGUAUGCCUAAUUCUACUUGGAGUGGAAACAGAGACCGAAAGUUCAAUGGAGUGAUUACGAUUAAAAUUUAAAACUUGAAAGCCUUUGCAAUCCAUUGCCUGAGGGCGGAUGCCCGUACGAGAGCUACUACCAUCAAAUCUGCAACAUAGCAAAGGCUUAAUAAAAACUAAAAAAAAAAAAACUCAACCAAAAUCAAUUUGACUGCCUAACUAAGUUCUGCAUCUAUAUACGUCUUCUGUAUCGUGAAAAAAAAAAAAGAAAGAUGCAUACAAUAUGACACAGUAUGGUAUGCCAUUGGACAUGCCUAUUCAGAAUAUAUAUAUAUAAUAAUAAGACUACAAAAUUUCUCUAGAAGUUUUCCUUGUGAAAAUGGAAGCGUGUUGUCGUUUCUAAGCUUAGUUUAUGGCAUAGUUGUUUGAGUGUCUUUGUAAGUGCUGAACUUCCACAGUAGAAGACUCCUGCAACAAUCCAUCAUUUGGCAAUGAGAACAAUCUUUAAGCCCUGACAAAGCUGGAAUCAUCAGUUGGAAGGAAAUGGAUGACAUCAACUUACCAAUCCGUGCGGAUGGAUUUUGAGUUGCCAAAUCAGUGAACACUUUCCUCCAGUUUGGUCUUGCAAAAUGCGUCUUAAUCUGUCAAUAUAUUGUGUCAGAAACCAACAUUAAGUUUAUUGCGGGAAAAGCUUUGUGGAAAUUGUAUGUUUGGACGUGAAUACCCGACUUUCUGAGACAACAUCAACUCCAUUCUUGGCAUGCAGCAGUGACUGAACCAUUGAGAUUAAUGCUGAUCGAGCAUCUCCUUCUUCAUAUACACUAGUCAAGUAGUUAUGCAUUUCUAUGACAUGCUGAAAAAAGAGUUCAGUUCGAGCAAUCUUAAGAAAAGGGAACUGAAUAAUUAUGAUCUUUUUUAGUUUCUAUGUGACUUACAUGAUCAUCAUACUCUGCUAAGUCAUCCAUGACUCCCUUGAACCAUUCAAAAGAUCCUUGCUCGCGUGUUAACCAGUAAAAGUAGGCUCUUUUAGGACCUUUCUUUCUUGCUAGUAAGUCAUCUGCAAGGUCCUGCAAUAGUUUAUUUUUGUUUCAUAUGUUCAUCCGGUAUGAUUGUCCUCUCAUUCUUGAGAAAAUUUAAUCAAAGAUUCAGGAGCUUGAUACUUACUAAUUCAACUCUAUUAUUUAGAAUGUCUUUUAUAAUGCUGAUGAAUGGUGUCGCUCCAAUCCCCAGUCCAAUGAGAAGAAGGGUGUCAUAUUUCUUGUAAUUUUGUGCAGGUGCUCCAUAAGGUCCUUUGAUCAAGAUCGUUGGGAACCUAUACUUAAUGUAAACAUAAUAUUAGAGGUGACAUAUUUGAGCAAUCUUAAGAUUACUGAAUGGGAUUUACAUGCUCACCCUGCUUGUGAUUGCUGAGGAGUACCAGAACGCGCCCGUGUUUCCAAUCUUACAAGGCUUCCCGUUUUAGCUUGUGCAUCUUGAGGUUCACAGGCCUGCGCACGAGUGCCUCAGAAUAAAGAGAGAAGGAAAAUGAGAUGUAAAAACAGACGAUUGAGCAAGAAGGGUCUAUGUAUGCUUCUGCCAUUCUUUAAAUGAGAAAGAAGAGCACAAGGACCGAUCAACUGAUCCUGUGACCCUGUGGCUGAAAAAGAGGUUCAAUGUUUGUGUUGCCGGUAAAAAUUUGCCGACUGUACUCUGAGUUGCACAAAACUUAACCAAUUUUUCUAAACAGGAGAUCUCGUAGAUGGUUUGAUGGGAUCAGAUCACCUGAACUCGAUUCAGAAUAAAUAAACGGUGAGGAAAAAGGAAUAAGUAUUACCUUCUCAAAUGUGUUUUUGAGCUCCGUAGUCCAGUCUCCCAGUGCACGUAUGUGGACACUGAGAUAGGGAUCAUCAGGUGCAGAUGUGAUGGAGAAUGGAUGCCUGAAAGAGAUAAAUGAUAAAUCAUGUUAUAUAUUGCUAGGGCUAGAUGGAAGAUCAUUGAAAAAUUCCUGCUUGCUUUACCACUCAAAAGGUGAUAUAUCAGGACAUUUGACAAAAAGGUACAUCCCACUUUUGUACUUGAAUCCUACAGGUUUGCUCAUGUAUAGUGCUAGAACAUUUCCUGUAUAUAUAACAGCCUGCAUACGAGAUGCAUUAGUGAAUUAAACUUAUUCUUGUGAAUUUGAAGGAAACUAAUGGAACAAGGAAGACCAACCUUCUCUAUGUCCACCUGGUACUUGUGGUCAUACAUUGUGAGAAUUCUUUCGCUGGCAUAUAUGAACAUUGGGACAGCAAGAUACAUCCAUGUCUGCACCAUAAGGACAUCAUACAUAAUUCCACACCUAUGAGAGGUUUUAACUAGAACAUUGUUUGAUGAGAAUAUUGGUUUGUAUUUAGCCUCAUGCAGAAAUUUACUACUGGAGAUUGCAUUUUCAGCAGAUCAAUACGGUUAAAAUGAGAUAUUUGAUGGGGGAACUAAAUCUGUUUUCGGUGCAAAGUGGAACGGUCAUCCUUACAAGUGAAAUUCAUCAAAAUGUAAUUACGACCUUGCUGAGUUGAGAAUGAAUUGGAAACUUUUUUAUCUCUCGCAUUAUCAAAACUUAUAUCUUUGAAAACCAUUCUUUAAUCAUUAAACAUUGAAUUCCAGAAACCAUGCGAAUGUACCGUACCACUACUGGAAGCUAUAUAUGUUCUUCUGACUCUCAUUCGUCUACCUCCGUCAGAAAAAGUGUUCAGGAAUUAGUAAAUAAGGGAAAAUCAGCAUACCGUCUUUCGAUACCAUUCGUUAGAGAAGAUCAAGAAGUAGCCGUGUAAGAUCAAGAGGAUGUAGACAAUGGCCAGUAGAUGAUGCGCAUACCAGAAGGAAUUGAACCCUGCCAAUUUGUCGAAUGGAUGUGGCAGUUUUACAACAUUGCGCCUGAAUGAAUGCAACGCUAGCGUGAAGGAGAAAGUCAUCAUAAACACCAUCAUAAUUCCGGUUGCGCCAGGGGUACUAAGCGUAAGCUCAAAAUAAGUAGGUUGGUGGUAGUUAAAGACACUUCCAUAUAUAUCGUUGAAUGUAUCACUUGGACAACUUGAUAAUCUCACCAAAUUGCAACUCAAAUGAAACACUACAUGAACAAAGGUUCCUACUGCAAUUGCUAGAGCAAUCAAUUUGUGGAAAUUGAUAUUGUCAUCGAAGGGGAUCACAGUACCAAGGAAUGUUUCCCGUAGCGUUGUAAGAGUUCUCCUGCAUACUGGAAGGAGUAUCAGAGCCAUGUUAAACUUCAGAGUCUCAGCAGCACCCUUAGCCAUGCAGACACAAUAUCCCAAGACUUGGAAUGUCGGUUUUUUUCUAUAUUCAUGAAAUUUAUAAGCAAAGAGUGCCAAAUUCACACUCAACCACAACGUGACCAUCCAUAUUCUCCGCCAGUUCUCAUGUAUUUUCCCCGAGAUUUUUAGGACAAAUUUGCUGACUCGAGUUCUAUAUCUUUUGGGAAUCAUGGUCUUCGCCAGAAUUAGCGUCCUCUUCGAAAUAUCUUUACCAUCUUCUGAGCUCACCAUCCCUUUUAGUAAAGUUUCCAGUUGCCACAUCUGUUUAUAUUCGCCGUGAGACAGAGGCAAUGAAGUGGACAAGAGAAACAAGGAGAAGAAGAUGAAGAAGAGGUUUUGGUUUUUUUUUUUACGUCCUAACCUCUAUGUAUCCCGUGUGGUCAGGAUCGAGCUCUUCCAUGAUUAGAGCAGCAUACGUUGCAGCAUGAGUCUUAAAGUUGGACAACUUAUUUGCUGAGGCACUCAUUACUAGAAUCUUUUCCACAAGAUAUGAAGCAGUUUGAUCCAUGAGAAAGGAUGAAUUUGCAUAAAGAUAAAAACAUUUUGGUACAUGUUAACUUGUUACCUCUUUGACCUCAUCUUCUGAUAGCCUGCCAUCGCCAUUCUUGUCACACCUGCAAUAAAAAGGCCACAUCUAAUCAUUGGCAAGUGUUAUUGUUAUUUUUCUUAACAUCCCUUAUGUUUCCUGCUUUGAGAACCUCAAAACUGUCUUACAUUUCAAAAAAUAUAUGUAGCCGUGCGUCAAGGUCUGGAUUUGUGAUAUCAUCCCAAAAUUUUCUUAGUUCCUCCUUGACUAUACCAUUUUCGGGGUUGAUCAUCCUCCGCCUGGCCAACGUAUCAAACAAUUCACCCGCAAAUUCCUUACUCUCUGCUGCCAUCCCUUUAACAAGGAAAAUGCAAAAUAUGUAAUCUUGGCUUUCAUCCUCGAACUAGCACAAAAUCAGCUUAACAAGAAGAGAUGUUUAAGAAAAAUUAAAUACCAAUGCACACCCCAAAUUUGUCUCUAAAAAUCCUCCCAUUAACCCCAUUCUGAUAGAAACGUCUCUCGAUUGCUUUCCAUGCAUCCAUUUCCUUCCCUGUGUUAAUCCUGUCGAGGAAUCGUAAGCCAUUAAGCCCUCUAGCAGCACCUGAUUGUGUCCUUGUCAAAAUGGGGGAGUUGUUGCCAGGAACUCCAUUUCUCUUCCUCAAAUUGCUUAUUUGCCUCUCAAAAGAUGUUUGAUUUGUGUUUUUCGGUAUGGAGCCUGGCUGAUCACCAUCAUCAUCCGGCACAUCAGCAAUACUAUCAAUUUCAAUGCUCUCAAGAAUCCAUUUUGCCGAUCCCCCUUUAGCCAAUUCUGUGCGGUCGAUUGGUCCCAUAUCUUUUUUUUUUUCAACUUCAUAGGGAGCUGUAGAAUCUGAAUAUAUGGUUGCAGGAGACAUGUAACGAUGGAGGAAAUCAAGAAGGAAUCAGAUGGAGAGGCAUCCGGUUGCAAAGGUGGCAAAGCUAAAAUUAGUUAUUUCAGUUGAAAACUUGGCUGUCAGGCAUUCAGCUUUCCCUUGAGAAGACCAGCUCAGAAAAUGUUAUGGGAAAUGUGUAGACGCAUUUGGCCAAACAAUUUCUCUCAUCUCCACCAUUGAUUUGUCCAGAACUAGUGAUUAACAUCUUGUACCCACGACAUAUAAUUGACUUGGUACGAUGAGAUGGAUCGACAUAUGUCAUUAGUUACAAAAAAAAAAAUGAAUAUUUUCCAAGCCCCUGCACCAAUUAUUUUACAGGCAUGAAAAUGCAAUCAGAAAUUGUUGAAAAACAUUAGAUGCAAUAAGUUCUUGCCAGAAAAAUAACAAUGUCUGUUUUGGACAUUUUGGGCAAACUUUCUAAUCAUUCUACAAGAAGUUUAGGGGUUAGAAUUCCUUGGCCUCUUUUUCAUUUCCAAACAAUGGUUGCCAAAAUGUAAAAUUACUCGCAAAAUUUGAUUAUAUGUUGCAGUAAUAGAUGGGGAGGUCAUGAGGACACUAGCUACAACAGGGAUUUCUUGAAAAUGUCUUUUUUUUUUCAGGUAAAAAUAUGAAAUUUUAAUUUACAGGCCUUUGAUGUACAUUUUCGGUAAAUAAUUGUGUACAGUGCUUCCACUUUCAAAUUCUUUGGAUUUCAAUUCACAAUAUAGACAAGUCAUGUCCCUGAUAACAUCUUCUUAAAUGUUUCGGAAAAAAAAUAAUAAUACACAAUCUGAGAUUCCAUUUCGGAUGUAAGUUAACAUAACCAUAUUCAUUACAAAAUAGAAAAAAAAAAUAUAUUGAGUUUAACUAUAUCGAACCAUUGAUAUUGAAGUCAUUUAUUGGUAAUUUCUAGAGACUUUCAUUUUUAAAAUUUGGAUUGUUGAAAAGCCUAAGAUUUAGUCAUCAUCUAUUUGGAUUGUAAAUUAUUAGAGAUAUUUUUACUAUAGCACUUUUUGUGAUGUGAUGUAUGUGAGAUAAAAAGGUAAUUGGGAAGAUAAAAAGGUGUGUUGAAAAUUGUAAUGAUGAUGUAACCAAAUAAAUUUUGACAAAUAAUUUACAACCCAAACAGACUCGAAAAGCUAACUUUAAGAAACUCAUCAUUUUACAAAAAGCUUGGGGCAAUAGGUAGAUUUGUAAUUCGUUUCAAAAAAAAGGAAAAAAAGAAAACAAAAACUAGACUUGUUGAAAUAUAGUAUUUAAAGUUUAAAACUCAAAAUGAAAUUGAUAUUAGAAGGAAAAUAUGAAUGAAGAAAUCUUUGUCGUAAAAAUAAAAACCUAGUUUAAAUAAGAAACAUGAAAAUUUUUUCCAGAUAGAAUAUAGGAAAAGGGUAAACAAUAAAAAGAGGUAGACCAAUUUCUUCUUUUCAUAAAAGUUUGCACUCUUUGUUAUUUCUCAUGUGUUUUUUUUGUUCUUCCACCAUCAUGAAGAUAAAUAUUUUUACAACCUUAAUCAAAACAAAAACUUCCAUACUUUAGUACAUUUUUCCAAGAAAACGAUGUCAAAGUUUUUAUUAAAAAAUGCUAAUUCAUUUAGUCUUACAAUUUCUUAGGCCCCACCAAAGCAACGGUCUCAAUUAGAAUUUCUUCCCUGCAGAAACUAAACCGCGCUCUCUCUUUCCCGCUCCCUUCUCUUCUCAGUUCUCUCCCACCUUCUCUACACACACUACACACACUACCUCCUCACGAAAACACCUCUUUUUUCCUUCUCUUUCUCUUUACCCCCAAGACCUUCUGCAAAGUGUAAAAGAAACACGUCUCCCACUUCCCCUUCCCUCCUUCCCCACUGUCUUUCAUGCCCUUUUCAGUCUUUUCACUUUGCUCCCCAAUCGGACGGCUCGGCCCAGUCCACACACCCGUCUUCUUCUUGCUCUUCCCUGUCGUCCCACUCUACACCCGCUCACACCAUAACAUACCCACUCCCCUUCCCUUCCCCACCCUCUCCGUCCCUUUCUCUUUCUUCUUCUCUAGGGUUCCCACUCUUAUUAUAUUUUGUUCUCUCCAAAAAAAAAUCUCUCUCGCCUCGCUUCUCCUGCUUUCUUCUUAUCAUAAUUCUCUUUUUUUUUUCCUGUUGGCCUGGCCUCGAGUCCAUCAACGACAUCUCAGGUAUGAGUUUGAUCCAAUCUCACCUUCUUCUUCAUUUAUCUAUCGUUGUUUUUAUGUUCAUUCCUGCUCGUUGGUUGAAAAAAGAUUGGAAUUUUCUUUUAUUGGUUUGGAAUAUGUUUUAGUAUUUGGAUUGUUUUUGGGUUUCUUGACACGGGUUUUGUGAAUUAGAACGUGGGUUGCUUUUAUUUUUUCGGUUUAAAUUUUUUUUUUUUGGGAAAUUAAUGUUGCUAUGCAUUUUUUGUAGCUGGGUGAUGGUUUAGUUGAGAAAGUUCUAAUUUUUUGAGUUUUGUAUUUUUUUAAAUUUGGUAGGGGCUUAUGUGCAUGCUGGUGGUAUUGAAUGGCGAUUGAGAAGAAUAACUUUAAGGUUUCGAGAUUUGAUUCAGAGUUUUCGCCACAUAGUAGAGAUACUAACACUAUGUUGUCAAGUGAGGAUGAGGAGUUUCAGAGGCGAAACUUGAGUGCUGUUGAUUCUGAUGAUGAUGAUGAAGAUGAUGAUUUUGAUGACUGUGAUUCUGGGGCUGGCUCGGAUGACAUUGAUUUACUUGAAUUUGGUGAAGCUGGGGAGGAGUUUUGCCAGGUUGGUGAUCAAACCUGCAGCAUUCCAGUUGAGUUGUAUGAUCUUUCCGGGCUGCAUGAUGUGUUGAAUAUGGAUGUGUGGAAUGAGGUCUUGAGUGAGGAAGAAAGAUACAGUCUUACUCAGUAUUUACCUGACAUGGACCAAGAGACUUUUAUGCGGACUUUAAUGGAGCUCCUUACUGGGUGUAAUUUGCAUUUUGGAAGUCCUAUUGAUAAGUUGUUUGACAUGUUGAAGGGAGGGUUGUCUGAGCCGAGGGUGGCUUUGUAUCGGCAGGGUUUGAAUUUCUUUCAGAGAAGGCAGCAUUACCAUCUCUUGCGGAAGCAUCAGAAUGCAAUGGUGAGCAAUCUUUGUCAAAUGAAAGACGCUUGGUUGAAUUGCAAAGGGUAUAGCAUUGAGGAAAAGCUUCAAGUUCUGAACAUAAUGAAGAGCCAAAAUAGCUUGAUGUAUGACAAGAUGGAGGAAUUAAAAAGUGACUCGUCUGAGAUGGAGGAGUCAGGAGAUGGUACAUGGGGCAAACUGGCCAAGGAUCGAAAGCUUGGGCAGAAACUUGCCCGACAGUCUGGAUAUGGCAUUGCUUCGGCUUCGGAUUUCCCAUCUCAUGGCAGGCAACUGGCUUUAGAACCACCAAAGGCUGGGAAGCAGAAUAAAAAGGGAAAUCUCAAGUUAGGGGGGUCUAAAUCUGCAAUGGCAAAAGAACUACCAGGUGGCUUUUCUUUGGCCCACCACGGGAUGGAUCUAAAAUCUGGGCCUUAUGGUCCAGCUCUGCCUCUUUCUCACCAUUAUCGAGUGGCAGGGUUUGAUCCUGGGGCAGCAUUCCACAGUAGGGAUCAAAUGGAAGCUGAUGAUUAUGAAAAUGAAUCAAUGUAUGAAGUGUCUGUGCACAGAGAUCAGAAUUUCUCUCGGGCUGGGGUAUCAAGCAAAGGAGGGACUUUCAAAAUGGGGAAAAGACAUGAUGAACCUUUGAGAGUUGAAGAGUAUACUGACAAUUUUAUGGGAUUACCUAAGAACAAUUUGCAUUUGUAUGGCAGGAACAACACUGUCAAUCAAUUAUCAGACAUCAAGGUUUUAACUUCAAAGCCACUUAAUGCUAGGAUUCCCUAUGAUCUUGGGAAAAAGGUCAAGAAUGUUGGAAAUUUUCUGCAUCAUGGUUCUGAAGAUCAGAUGAUAUAUGGAAAGGGUCGAAUACCAAAUUUGUUACUGAAAGGAAGUCACACGGAAAUGUUAGAUGGGAAGGAACCCUUUUGGCUUGGUACAGGACAGGGAGGACCUUUCUCUGCUGAGCAAUCAUACAAGUAUGGAGAUUGGAAUGGAAAAAGCAAGAAGUGGAAAAUGGGUAGGGACUCUCCUGAGCUUGGAGUUGAUAAUCGAUUUAUUGAUUCCGAGUAUCAGCCAAAGCCAUUGCAGGAAAGAGUCAGAUCAAGUUCUAUGCAAAAUGGUGGGCGAGGUAUGGCAAAGUUUAAAGGUGUCAGGGAUUUUGCUAAGAAGGAUGAUACUGAAUCUGAUUCAUCUGAGCAGAUUGAUGAAGAUGAGGAUGAUAAUCCCCUGAUGAGGAGCAAGUGGGCUUACCCUAGUGGUAUUUCUGAUCUAAAAGUGGGCCGAAAUUCGAAGAAGUCAAAACUUUUUAAGAAGGAUGCAAAAGAUGGGAUCUGGACUCUUGAUGGAUCAUCCCACUCCACAAGACAGAUGUCUGAUUCUGGUGAACAUCUACGGAUGAUUAAAAAUGGGAACCACAACUGGAGAGCUGAGCAGAAAGGCAAGAUGCAUGAUAUUGGUCAAGUUAAUCCUUAUAUUAGAGAUUUGGGCAGGAAUUAUUUCUCUGGAUCUGGUCAACUAACUGGUGAGGAUGAUUGGCAGCAAAUGUACAAGUUGGGAAGGAAUGACCAUAUCCAAGAAGAUCAGAGCGAAAGAUUGCACAUUCCCAUCUUUAAGUCACCACAUUUGGAGAGGAGGAGGAAAGGAGAAUUGUACAGGGACUACGGCGUUCCCCAGUCAAAUUUUCUGCAAGAUAAUGAUCUUGAGGAGGAUGAUGAUUCCCUUCUGAUUAAGUCGUUGGCAGGGCAUGCCAAGGUCUCUGCCAGGUUGGGGAAAAAAGCUCAAGUGAAUGAAACAUAUGCUGGUAAUCAUCAUGAAAAAUCUGAUAUUCAAUUGAUAGGAUGCAACUCUAAUGCUAAGAAACGGAAAGUGAAGGAUGAUGUGACUUACCUGGAUGAGAGAGAAAAUACAAGUUAUUUCCCCUAUGAUAGUCAAUUGCAAAUGGAUGAUGCUGAUUCCUCAAAGAAGCGGGGGAAAAAGAAAUUGGGGGAGGACACUGUUAUGUUGGAAAAGGGAAUCAAUGAAGUACCUAAUACAGAGAUGGAAGUAGAAGAUGUCGAGCCAGAUAUUAAACCGCAGAAAAAGCAUUUCACUCCAAUUACACCCACGGUUCAUACCGGCUUUUCAUUCUCAGUCAUUCAUCUUCUUUCAGCAGUUCGCAUGGCAAUGAUUACUCAGAUUCCAGAGGACUCUUUAGAGGUUGGAAAGCAUCUUGAUCAGACUGAGGGUGCCGCAAUUGUCAACGAGGACCAAGAUAUAAGGCAGGAUAGCUCCAAUGGAAAUCAUCCACAGGCAGACUUGGAUGUCAGUAAGCUUGCAGCUUCUUCACAACUGAACGUUCCUUCUCUCACUGUUCAGGAAAUUGUUAACCGUGUUAGAUCCAAUCCUGGAGAUCCCUGUAUUCUUGAAACUCAAGAACCACUUCAGGAUUUGGUCCGAGGUGUUCUGAAAAUAUUUUCAUCCAAAACAGCACCUUUGGGAGCUAAAGGUUGGAAAUCACUUGUUGUCUAUGAAAAGACAAACAAAAGUUGGUCCUGGAUUGGUCCUGUGAAUCACAGUCCAUCUGAUAAUGAGGCUGUCGAGGAGGUGACAUCUCCAGAUGCCUGGGGUCUUCCUCACAAGAUGCUUGUCAAGUUAGUCGAUUCUUUUGCUAAUUGGCUGAAAAAUGGUCAGGAGACACUGCAACAAAUAGGAAGUUUACCGGCCCCACCAUUGACACUGAUGCAGUUCAAUUUAGAUGAGAAAGAACGGUUCAAGGACCUGAGAGCUCAGAAGAGUCUCACCACUAUCAGCCCAAGUUGUGAAGAAGUAAGAUCUUAUUUCCGUAAAGAGGAGGUACUUAGGUAUUCAAUUCCAGACAGAGCCUUUGCUUAUACAGCUAUUGAUGGUAAAAAAUCAAUCGUUGCCCCCUUGAGAAGAUGUGGUGGCAAGCCAACAUCGAAGGCCAGGGAUCAUUUUAUGCUAAAACGUGAUCGUCCUCCCCAUGUUACUAUUCUCUGUCUUGUAAGAGAUGCAGCUGCUAGAUUGCCAGGAAGCAUUGGGACAAGGGCAGAUGUUUGCACACUGAUCAGAGACUCACAGUAUAUUGUGGAAGAUGUUUCUGAUGCUCAAGUUAAUCAAGUGGUUAGUGGAGCACUGGACCGGCUACAUUAUGAGCGUGAUCCUUGUGUGCAAUUUGAUGGAGAGAGGAAACUGUGGGUGUAUUUGCACAGAGAAAGAGAAGAAGAGGAUUUUGAGGAUGACGGGACAUCAUCAACUAAGAAAUGGAAGAGGCAAAGAAAAGAAGCAAAUGAGCCAUCAGAGCAAGGGUCUGUGACUGUUGCUUUUCAUGGGCCGGGAGAACAAAGUGGUUUUGAUUUGAGCUCUGAUCUAAAUAUUGAACCGUCAUGCACGGAUGAUGAUAAAAAGCCAGAGAUUACAUACUAUGAUGCUAUGGAUAAUGUGGAGGAGAAUGUUGAGACUUGUCACGGAACUGAACAAGGUGCUGACCACAGCGGUUCUACUCCACUGGUUUGGGACUCUCUUGGCCUGAAUCCUCUUCAAGAGAACAAUUUGCUAUGUCAGGAGAAUUCUACUAAUGAAGAUUUUGACGAUGAAAUAUUCGGCCGAGAGCCACCAGCUUAACUGUUGAGCUCAGUCUUAUUCUGAGUUACAAUAAGGUAACUUGGAAAGUUCAUUCCUGCAAUUCACUUUAAAAUUGUGAUAACCAGUAAAGGUUUGGGCUGAUAGGAUAAGGUUCUAUGAUGAGUAACUGCUCAAAAGAGGCAAUUUCUUGGUUUAUUAUGCCAUAAGUUGUUUAUAAAGAUUGUUAUCUCAUAAAUUACUAAUUUCCAUUAGAAAUCACAUCUUUCUACUACUAAAUUCACAUCCUGAUUCUUAGAAGUAGGUGCUAGUUCUUUAACCAUUCAUAUGGAUCCUUUGAUUAUGUGAAUUACUAUAAACAUGCAGGCUACAGCUCUCGCCCACACAGGUGUUGUCACGGGAUUGAGUUGAAGCCCUUCAAGCUGUAUGCUGAAGUUGAGAUAAUUCAAAUGUAAAUUCAUUUUAGGUUACAAAACGUAGAAUAGUAAUCUUGAUGAAGUCGAAGAACAAUUACCAUAGGUAAUUCACCUUGUGCUCUGUCCUAGUUCUUUCCUUUUUCUUCCCUUUUCUUUUCCAUACUAUCAGGUCAGACUUAGUUAGCCUUUCAUUUCUCCGAUCACUAUCAGUUGAAGCUCCACGUCUGUGGAUUAUGGCUUCUUGUACAUAGAUAGAAUUAGCUGAGAGAUCUUGUAUCUUCCAAGUGCCCAUACUGUUAUGGGUACCUUAUUUUGUUAUGCCUUCUUAUCUUAAUCACAUGAAAUUUUUUUUUUUUUGCCUUACAGAUCUGAUGUUUAGUCUAGCAAGGCCUCAAGGGAGCCCAGCACACCGAAUUUUUUUCUUUUUCCCCUUCUUUUGGUUUUUCAGUUUUGAUAAUGUCAUCUCCUUAAAGUUUGUCCAACCUCCAAACAACUGUUGUUGCAUGCCUGGCAACUCUUUAGAGUUAGCUGCAUGGGGUUUGUGGGGAAGAUUUUGCCUAGCAGUCAAACAAAGCUGCAACCCUUUGAGCACCGCACGUGUUAAAUUUAGAUCCAAAGAUACAACAAACAAAAGUACGAAAACCGCAGUUAAAUGGCGGUGCGAGAUACAAGAAAAAUGUGAAAGAGAAGUAAAACGAAGUGAAGAGGAAAAACGGAAACAAAUUCAAGGCCGUGCAACACAAAAAAAAAAAUUCUUGAGGUUACCAUAGAAAAUAACUUCGUUUUAUCAUCAAUUAGAAAAAAAAAAGAAACGGAAACAAAAUACAGUUGGUGAGGAAAUUUGGGAAAGACAAAUUGCAAGGCAGUACUAAAAGUGGUGUUAUUCUUUUUCAUUAAAAAGGUAGAAUUUUUUUUUCACCCCAUUAUCAAUUCAAAAAAAAAAAAGAAACAAAAACACAAGUGAUGAGUAAAAAGGGAAAGACAAAUUGCAAGGCAGUAGUAAAUGGUACCAAAAGUGGUGUUAAUUUCCUUUUGCUUAAAUAAAGUACCUUUUGCUUAUGAACAAAAUUUCUUUUCUGAUUUGUAGGGUACGAAAUUUCCUUCCACUCGUGAUAAAUAAGAAAUUUCCUUUUUCUAUUCUUUACUUUCAUUAGUUUAACACUAUAUUGUUUGAGGAAAAGAAAAAAAUGAAGAGUUUCCUAAGCAUUGCACCGGAAAUUUGUACAACCCUUUUUCAGACAAUUUCCUUCCAACUCAAAAUAUUAUUCCUCAAGAAAAUUUAGGAAAUUUCUCUCAAGGAAAAGUGUGUCUGUAAAUUAAAAAAUAAUAUUCAUAACGGAAAAAAAAAAGUAAAUUGAAAACGUUCACUAUUGAUACGAGAGGGGCUAUGAUACGACGAUAAUAUAUUAUUUAAUAUAGCAUGAAGCAUAUGAUAUGACAAUCAUAUAUAUAUGAUCGAUCAAUCAUCAAGAGAGCUCACUGUGAUAGUAUAAUGCAACUAAAACGACAUGACGCACCUUACAGAGAGGGUAGGGUAGAAGAGCUCAUUCAAUCAUCCGAAAAAUGCAAAAUCACUCGUCUCUAUUAUCCUUGCUCAAGGAAUUUCAAGGACUGAAACUCCAUCGCCAAUCCCUGACCCUAAAGUAAAAUAUAAAUUGAAGAUAUGAGGUAAUCUGCUGCUAGCGGACUAUAAACCGCCGCCAUAGAAACGAAUUGAUGAUAUAACAAUCAACAAAUAGGUUGGUAACUAACCCUACACACUGAUGCUAUGUCCUGUACAGUGCUAUAUUGUCUACUACGCUACCAAUAGAAGAAUCUAAGUCCCUCUUCAAUUUAAUUAAUAGCAGUGAGGGGAACUCUAGAAUCUUUCAAGGGAGAGGCAGCUUCAACUAUAUGCUGCUUUACAUCUCCAUUUGCUUGCUUUGAUGUUUUUGCAUCCCAAAAGGACUUCAAUAAUUCUUCAAAAGCAGGGGUUCUGAGUUCCUCAAUGGAAGCAAUACUUGGAAGAUUGUACGCCCUCCUUCUUGGCGUAGCAGCGCUGGAUGGUUGAUCGACCUAUGAUAAUUUAAAAAAAAACCAACCAUUGUGAAACACUUGAGUGCUGUGAAGAUGAGGUAUAUUUUCAUAAGACAGUUUCUGCAAUAUUUCUAUAGCUUAUAUCUGACAAAUUUCAAUUUUCUUACCAAGUAUUCUUCUAGAAGACAUUUUCCUGCAUUUUCUGUGAUUUCCGCAAUUUUGUGGUGAUGUCCACACUUCAGUUCCCUCAGCUCACCGCAGCAAGGAACAAUCAGUGAAUCAAGAUUACCACAUGCGUCGUUGUCAAGUUGCAGUGAAUCUGCAAGGAUUUGUUCAGUAAAUUAUGAGCCCUUUUGGAAAACAAGAUUAUAUACCAAUGCUGAAGUAGUUUCGAUUGUCAUAUGUAAUUCAUGGGAUGGACUUACGGUCAAUAGAAGAAAGGAGAUUCCUGCUUGCGACAUCAGCAUCUUCAAGGGCGGAUGACACGGCUGAAGAAAACCGUGCACGUAAAGAUUGAUUGGCAUCCAUUCCUCCCCUAUGGGAAAUACAAAAGGUUACUUGACAUGAGUAUUCAUAAUCAUUUUCAACCACUAGAGAAGCACCUUGUUGGGUAUUAACCUCACUAUGCUGUCGACAGAAUCCACGUUCCUCUUCUCUAAAUUGAACAAGGAUUUUUGGGCAUCACUCCACUGUUGUGCACCCAAUUUUGCCUUUUGCAAGCUGCAAAAGUAAAUUAAUUUCACGAGAGACACUUAGAGGAGAAUUCAGACUUCAAAAGCCAUAGCAAGUUUGAUAAUGCAUAGAAGAAAUAUAGGCAGCAACCAAUACCAGUUCUGAAGAACCACUUCCAUUUCCUUUUUCCCACUUUCCACAGCACCAUUAUCCUCAAUAUACUGGGAUUCAGCCUGCUCCAUGUAAUUUGUCCAUUCUGCUUCAACAGAUGCAGUUGCAACUUGCAUUGUCGACAUCUCCUGUUGUAAUCGAUCAGUUCUAGUGGCUGCACUCUGGCGGAGGCCAUUAACUGCUGUUUGCACCUAGUACAUAGGAAAUGAAACUCUAUAAGAAUUUGAAAGUUGUACCACAGAAUCAACGAAAUGAAAAACACUAUUUCAGAGCCACCACCCGCAAUUUACACUUUACAUCACCACCUGUGAUCCAGAAGUAGCUCAUCAUUUGAAGAAGAAAAAUGGUCAAUUUGACAUGCCCUAGCUAGAGGUUUGAUGGAGAAUGGAAUUAUCACACUCUUUUGGAUGAGCAACUCAAAAAUUUGGCAAGAGCCAUAAGCAUAUAGGGAAAAGUCCAAAUAUUUGGCCAGAGAAUAGAAGUAACAAAUGAAAAUGAAUGUGCUACCAGAAAAGCAAUGACAUCACUUGUUCUUAAACCUACCAAACUGCACUACAAUUUUGAUGUUGUUCAACAUCACUAGUAUUGGUUCAUCUAAUUUGACUACUUUUCCCGUAUUGAUGAUUCAGUUGUAACAGUUUGUGAAGCUCUUACUUUCACAAUAGAGGAUUCAAAGUUUCAGAAAAAAGUCCAAAAGAAAAAACUUUUAUUCUUCUACUUCCAUAGGCAGGUAAAGAUUGUUUAUGUAUCUGCAUUAUCAUAAUUUAUUGAAGCAGAACAAGAACAGAUUGCCUUCUGAUGUGUUAGUCUAUGAGCUCAUACCAGUUGUUUCUUCCUGACAUUUGAACUAGCAAGCAGCUCUGCCACUUUUUCUAAGAGCUGCCUUUCUUCAUUGGCAGCACACUCCUACAUUGAAGGAAGAAACCAAAACAGAAUCAAACUUAAAGCAAGGCCACAACUUAAAGCAGAAACUAGGUUCAAGUGGGAAAAAGGUCAAAUCACCUCAAACUUCUUUUCUAGAUCAGAUAAUUGUUUAUCAUUGACUGUCUGUGAUUCUUCUACAAUUUGGCCUAAUUGUGAAACAUGCGCAUCCAAAGUUUUGAAAAAGUUGACAGUUAUUUGAGCAAUUGACCUUGUUGUCGUGACAGCUCUUUGAUGAGCCUGCAGAAGAUGUCAAUGUGAGUAACAUUAGCUGUUUCUCUCAAAUUAGAUCAGAGAAUGGAAAGUUAUCAGGCCAAGCAUGUUUCUUUAGUUUCUUAAGCAAAUGCCAACCUCACGUUGCUGCUGUGCAAAUGCAAUUAGUUUGCUCUCCUGACCGUGAAGACUAUUUUGAAGAUCAUUCAGCAGUUUAUCAGCCUCUGAAGCAAUGCUAUUGAAAAGCUGCAUUUUUUGAACAUUGAUCAAGCAAAAGAUACAGAGGCACAUCAUGAUUGUAGCAUUCAAUGUCAAGAGAUACUCACCUUAGUCAGAGAAGAUGAAUGCUCAGAGACCUGAGAAUUUAGAUGUCCAAAAGUUGACUGUGAAUUCCCAUCAAGUUCCCCAGCUAAACUGUUAAGAGAUUCUAUACCAGAACCAUACAUGGUUUUCAACUUCUCGAGGCGGCUUCGGAGCUCUUCAGUAGCCUAGCACACAAGAGAGACGUGAAUGUAUUGACAAACAAUCUGUGCAGAUACAAGCUUAUGCUAUUUCAUGUAUACAAUACCUCUGUCUUUGUGGAUACAAAAGACUGCAUAUCUUCUUCCAUAUCCUUUAAUUGUUGCUCUUGUUGUGUGGCUGAAGCUGCCACAGUUUUAUGCAAGAUGUCAAGCUGUUGCGUUAGCUGUGAUUGGAACUUCUGGACAAGAAUUCUGUUUCCAUCUUCUAUUUUGUCCUUGUGCUCUGGAUAAGCAAUUAUGCAUGAAUAACAACAUUAAACUGCAUGGUUUUAGGCAUAAUACAUCCCUAUUCUGUUUAGAUCACUAAGCUUAGCAUACAAACCAAUCUUAGCAAACAAAUUGGAGACAUCUGAUGCAGCAUUCUCCAGUUCUGUUCGAAGAUCAAACGCCCGCUCCAUAAGUGCUUUCUCUGGUAGAAGAAGACCACAUGAUGUCAGAAAACUGUUCUAAUAAUGUCUUGAUGGAUUAUAGAAGGAUUUUUUUUACAUGAUGGAUAGUUGUUAUUAGGACAUAAGGUGAGAAAAAGCAAGCAGAGAAAUUCAAAAACUUAAUCGUGUCUAGCAAAAAAAAUUCAGCUCAUUGUGGGCCUCUGUCACUCUUUUGCGUUUCCCAUUUAACCAAAGGCAAGUUGCACAAGUAAACAGACAAAAAUAUUGAAAGUAAAGGGACCUCAUAUCACCAGUCAAACUGGAAAAACUUAAUUAUGUCUAUCAAAAAAAAAAUUCAGCUCAUUGUGGGCCUUUAUCACUCCUUUCUGUUUCCCAUUUACCAAGGCAAGUUACACAAGCAAAAAUUAUGAAAUGGCCCAUGUAUAUAACAUCACAGAUCUGACCUAGAUAUUACUGAAUAUUAGAGUCAAAUAAGAAGGAAAAUUGCUUAGGAGACAGGAAAGCAUUGCAGGCUAGCAGAUCAGAUGCAACAAAAAAUCAUAAAUUGAAAAAAGUUAUUAGAAUGACUUGGCAGCCUAAGUAACAGGAAAAUAAUAAUAGAUGCAUUAUUUAUGCAGCAACAUUAGCAUUUAGGACUAUAUGUGAACAACUUUAAACUGUGGUGAACAUUGGCCUCACCAGACUUCAGAAGAUUGGCUAUCAGAUACUCCUUUUCUUUUAUUGUGGCAUUAGCUUGUCUAAACCGUUCCUCCAGAUCAGCCAAAGCAUGCUCAGUUUCCUGCAGCAUUUUCUGGAGCACAACAAAAAUAUAGUUGUGACAUCAUGAGCAAAAGAGGGGAAAGCACGACGAACUAUUAUGAGUGCAACAAAAUAAAUUAAUUUUACCUCAGUUUUGUCAAGUUUGUCGCUUAACUCUGCUGUCAAUAGCUGUUGAGAUUUGUAAAGUUCCUGAAGCUCCACAAAUUGCUGCUCAAAAAGCAUAUAGUGUAAUCAAUCAAGUGUUGCAAGUGGCAACAAGAAAAGACAAGGUUAAAGAUUCAUUUCUCAAGCAUACCUUGUCCCUGGAUUCCACAUCAAGCUCCAUGCGUUCUAUCUUCUCAGCCAUUGCCUGAAAUUAGAUACAAAAUUAAUAAUUUUCAGGGGAAAUUUUCAGGUAAUACAUGUCAUCGUCAGACCAAAUGACCAGAUUGCGACCUUUUUCUCGGCUUCAUCCUGCAGAUAACGAUCUUUUGGUAUAUAAAUCCCGUUCUUUUCUCUAGCAGCAUACACCUCUGAUGAACAUAAGAUUGUUAAAUAGAUUCAACGUAAUAUUGUCACAUCAUGUGCAAAAUUAUCUAAUGUGCUUAACCAGUCUGUAAACCAAAAGAUAUCUGUAUUUAUGGAAGUGUACACGACGCACUUGCAUGAACAGACAUAGACAGAGCAAUCAACAAACCUUGCUUCAGUCUGUCAAUUUCAGAGUAUAGAUCUUUAAUCAUUGCAGAUUUCAUCAUCUUCUGAUUAAUCUGAAAUCGCAAGCAAACCAACAUUUUUUAACAGGAUAUAAAUGAAGACAGUCACAAAUCCUAUGAAGGAACACAAUAGGAGAAACAUAGAAGGAAAUCACUACAUGUAAUGACGAAAGAAUGGUUAACAGAAGACUGACCUCUGGUUUGUUCUUUAUGUUUUUGGCUCUAUGAGCGUAAUCUAAAGUGUUGAGCGUCUCUUCCAGGCAGUGAAUGGAGGGUGAUACAGUGGCAAUCACACAUGUCUUUGUUUUUCCUCCCAAAGAAUCUCUCAGUAAUCUUGUUAGUUUGCUAUCCCUGACACCCAUAGUGAUAUAGUUGGUUGACCAUUAAUUCCCCAAACCCAUGCAAUCUCUUUGACUGGUUAACAUAAUGGGAACAGUACCUGUAUGGUAUAUGACCAGAGUGUUCCACCAAAGCAUUUAUCACCCGACCAAGAGUAAGCAAACUUUUGUUGAUUUCACCCGCUUCCCUUGCUCUUCCCUGCGGAAUUAAGGGUUAUCAAGCCAAUUCAGAACAUGCAAUGUCACCUUCAAGUUUUCUCCCCGCACGAAAGUUGUGAAAGCACUAUCUGGUGACACUUAGAUCAAGUUCCAGCCAAACCUAUUAUCCUUCUUUUCACAUGUAAAUGUAUGAACACAGACAUAUGCAGAAAAAUUAAGCAUUGACACAAUUUGCGACAUGUCUCUCACCUCUCUAGCACCAGAACGGGAGAUAUUCUCAGAACCAGCCAAGUCAACAAGAUUCAGUUUCCCGCAUUUAAUCAUUUCCUCCCCUUCAGGUGUGCAUUCCUUUAUGUGAAUAGUUAUAGAAAAUAUAGAGUGAGAACGGCUGCUCUGUUUGUUGAGAAGGGUUUCAGCUGUACGCCUUUUAGCAGAACCUUUCUCUAAUAUCUUAUAUAUCUCAUUUGCAGUACAAACAAUUUCCUCCUCCAAGCCUCUCACGAAAACUCCACCUUUACCGUCCUCCAUAAGUGCUAUUGGUUUCUUUGAUUUAUCAUCCAAGAAUUUUGGGGCUUCCUCAGGAGCCAAGAGAUCUGUUAUCUCUUCAUUGUAGAGCUCUAAAAAAGUCACCUUCAUAUUGUACUCAGCAUGCUGAGUUUCUAAAAUGUCAAAUAUUUGCUUGACAGCUCUUGGAAUUACACCUGCAUCACUAGGAAAUUCCCCAUUCUAAAGGGGUGAAAAAUCAACCAUUUAUUACAAGAAUAAGAAAGGGAAGCUGCAUUAACAUACUAAAGCAUACGUACAAGUUCCUAAGCCAAAAAAGAGAGAAAGACAUACCUUUUUCCUUCCUCCUCCCUCCAUCGUAUAAGUUUUCCCUGUUCCAGUCUGCCCAUAGGCAAAAAUCGUGCAGUUAUAGCCCUCUAAAACUUCAAAGACAAUAGGCCAAACAGCCUGAUCAUACAAGUCCUUUUGCUGGGAUGUCGGGCCAAAGACCUGAACAACAUUAUACCAAAUCAUAUUUUUUGCCUCAUAUAAAAAAUGCAAUAAUACCGGAAAUUCCAAGGAAAUGAAUAGUUCUUCCAGCUCUAUAUUGAUUUAAUUUCGGUGUAAGCUCACUCUCUAUUCUCUAUUCUAAGAUACAAUUGAUCACGUCUCUAUCUUUUCUUUACUUUUUUUUUCAUUUUUCAUUUGUUUUCAGCUGCUGAUAAUUCUUCAUUUCUGUGCUAACAGAAUAAGUAUCAAUCAUCAAGUCUGAGAAAAGCCAAACCUUAUCAAAAGCAAACGUUCUAUCAAUUUGCUUAUUAGCUAUGUUCUGGACAGCACACACUUCUCUUCUGUUCUCAUUGCAAGAUAUCACGACCGGCGUGUGCAAUCUCGUCUCUUCAUCACUCAGCGGCCUGCAAAAAAUUCACAAUCAAAUCUUUGUAUAACAAUUGACUUAGAUUAAACGCCCCCAAGAGAAUGCCUGUGAUCAAUUCAGCAAAACUCACCUGCACCGGACAAUGACCUGUACAUUGACGCCUUUAUCCUUAUCAUGCUUCCCACUCAUACUCCCCUCGCCCGAUCGUAGAUCUCUCGCCGCCUUAUCACUCGACUUCGGCGUUUGGGAUGGUGAAACCGAUGCGAAGCCAUUGCCUCCGCCGGCUCCUCCUCUUCUAUGUUGUUGUGAUUCCAUUGUUACUGAACUUCGCUCUUCAAAUCACCAACGAGAUCUUCUUUCCUUUUGUGUAUUGACAAUCUCUGUAUUAACAACUCAUCAAAACCACCAGUAAGCUUCAAAUCAACCAGCCGGGUCAACUCAAAUUCAAAUCCAGCGCACAAAUUCUCGCAUUUCUCAAAAAAUACAACAAUAAAAAACGACAAAGUUUUGCUCAAAGAGGAAAAAAAAAGAAGAAUAAAUGACCAUAAGAAAUGACAACCGCAAAUUCAAAGAUCGGAUAUCCGAUGGGUGGCCAAAAAACAGUCAAAAAAAUAAAACAAGCGAUAAAAACAGAGGAAUCAAGCCAAUUAUACACGAGAAUAUUUAUGCGAUUCUCGCGGAUGAGUGUGUGUGUGUGUGUGUAUAUGUAUGUACGAGGAUAAUGCUGCAUCGUCUAAAACUUACCACGAAGCCAAAUGCCGGCCGCUGACAGCUUCAAUUGCCGGAUAAAUGUUACCACUAUAAUCUAGUAUGUGUAUCUACGUAUCUCUAUAUCUCGUAUACGGGAGCAGCCCGAUGGCAAUUGUGUGCGAGUUUUAGAGAGAGAAAGUAGAAGGACAGUCAAUAUUAUGUUGAGAGCGAUGAUAGAUAGAUAGAGUGGGAGUGAAGUUUUUAUGGAUUAGCUGAUUCUUAAGGUUAAAUAAAUAAAAAUAUGGUGAGAGAGAGAGAGAGAGAGAGAGAGCUGAGAGCUGAGUGUGGGAGUGUGUGUGGGAGACAGCGAGAGGUACAGGGAGAGAGAGAGAGAGUGGACUUGGAACGAAGCUCAAAAUAUGGCCGUUACGGAGCGUUCGAAAUUUCUUACCCUUGGUUGAGUAAUUUUUUUAUGGUUUCAAGGCGCAGCCGCGGAGGUCGAAGAAGAUUUGAAGGAUGACAAUGACGGCGUUAGUGGCCAGUUUGGAUAUAAAUUUUUGACCGUUAUAAAAUGGAAGAAACAAAUUUAAAAUUAAAAACGGAAAAUGAGGAGGGUAGAGGACUUUGCGGGGUAAACAGCAGGUCACGGGUUUCUCAUUUAUUACGACACUUGCCAUCCAUGCGUCCGCGAACGAAGAUCACUCAAUCCAUGAACGUGACAAUUUUCUGCCCUUUUCUUCCAUGGCUAAUUAAUCAUCAUCUUCUUCGUUUUUUCUACCGUGAAAUUUUCUACAUCGCCUGUGUUUGGAUUGUGUGUUAUUUCACUUUAUUUACACACAUUACAUUUAUUUACAUCAUCAAUACAUUUUUCAAUCAUUUUUUUAUCUCACAUACAUCAUAUCAAAAAAAGAUGCUACAGUACUUUUUCAUAAAAUUAUCUCAAAUAAUUUACAAUCCAAACACGGAGUUACGCACCACGCCUGCCCUCCCUCCCCCUCCUCCUCCCCAAAAUGGACCUUAAUCCCAUUCUUAGUUUAGGAGUUCUUUUAUUUGGUAUGGUAAAGCUACACAAUAAAAUUGGAAUAGUAGUGUUAUAUUUUUCUACAAAAUGUUAAAUUUCUACUGUAGAGAGUUAAAAAUUUUAUAGGUUUUUAGAGUGGAUGGUCAUUUUAAAUUUUUAAUAGCAGAUUCCUUUUUUCUCUUUGUACUCUUAUCGCAUGACUUCGAUCAGUCAUGAAUUGUUUUCUUUUAAAAAUAUUCUCUUGAUUAUAAUCAUCCGUCUAGCAUUACAAAAUGGGGAUUUGUAUAACUUUUUAUAAACUUAUGGACUUUAGUGUUAGAAUGUAACGGGCAUCAAACAAAUCGUUCCAAAUGAGCGAGGAACAAUAGCCUACAAUCCUUUAAUCAUAUAUAUAUAGUUUUUAUAAGUUAAAAAGUUCCAAUUUUUAAAAGCACAGGAACUUCAACAUUCGCGUCAACCUUUAAGGUUUGUCUAUAAUGGUAAAUAACUAAGAAAAUGUCAAGGCUCUAAUUAUGUGAUGAUACAGUAGUACUAAAUUCCAAAUUUUGUUGAUGAGCAGCAGAGAAGAGCGAGUAACUAGUUGGACUUUAAAAGCAUGCUAUUUGCAUUAAAUAUUCAUCAUCUUGAAAAUCAUGUCACAUCAAGUACCAACUACCAAGUAAUUGCAUAAGUUAGUAUAAUUACAUUCUCACUGCUCAUUAAUUAUAGCAAUUACUUUCCACUCCACGGAGGGCUUUCUAAUGCCUCUCAGCCAGCUUCUUAUGAAAUGACAGGUCUACCCUUUGAAAAUGUAUUCAACCUUUUUAUUAUUGAAGGGUAUAAUUAUUAUUUUAUAGAAAUUUGCCACGGAAAUUAUUCUCACAUCUGGUCAUUAGACAGAGUAUUACACCAAUGUAUUUGCUUUCUUAUACCUUGAUGAUGAUAUUUCAAUUGCGUACCAUCCCACUUGAACAUAAUGUCAGAUUGAUUUGAAGAAAUUAAGGGCUGUGUUUGGAUUAAAGAUUAUUUGAAAUUUUUUCAAAAUAACGUAUUAUGACUUUUUAGUGAAGUGAUGUCUGUUAGAUAAACCAAUGAUUUAAAAGAUAAACAGUAAUUAAAAGAACAUAUUUAUGAUGUAAUCAAAUAUUUAAAGAAAAAUGUUAUUUACACUCUCAUUUGUAGUAAUCAUACUUUCACUAUCAUUUUAAUCAUAUAAUUUUUAUUUAUUAGACUAUAUGUUAAAAUAAAUGAUGGGGUUCAAAUAACAAAAAAAAUAGAGUGAAAAUAAAUAUUUUCCUAUUUAAAUAAUGAGCUACGGAAUUUGUUAUUCCCGAUGAUUGAAGAAGAAAAGAUAAAUUGAACUGGAGGGAGAGAAAAGUAACGAAAAGAAUUAGAAAAAGAUCUCCGUCAUAAAUGAUAAAUAUAUAAAAGGUGGACACGCUGGGCUGCUGUGCGGUGUCAAAUGUACCCCACGUGAUAAAGACUGGCUUUGGGGUGCACAUGCCUCCUCAGCUCCCCGAGUCCCUAGGGAUGGCAACGGGGCGGGGUUGGGGCGGGGGACCCCUCCCCCGUCCCCCGCCCCGUUGCCUAUUAGUUCCCCCCGUCCCCCGUUCCGUCCCCCGCCUCCUGCUCCCCCCGCCCCGCUUCCCCCGCGGGUGCCCCCGCGGGGUUAAUAAAAUUUUAUUAUAUAAUUUUAUUAUAAUUAAAUUUUAAUAAAUAAUCAAGUACUAAAAUAUCAACACAUCACCAAAUUAUUAUUCAUUGUAAUUUUACAAUUGAAACUCAUAAAAACAAUCAAACAGAAGUUAUUUGAAUACAAUCCAAUAUGACGAAAUAAAUAUAACUAAAAUAGUCAAGUUUUCACUUUUAGUACAAAUGCAAUCACUAAUUCAUUAUUGUGUUUGUGCUUUUUUUUUAGAAAAAAGUGUUAUUCUAUUAAGUGUAAUUAGAAAUUUAGUAUAAAUAUAUUAGUAAAUUUAGUAUAACUAAUUAAUAAAUUCUAUUAGUAGACAUGUAGAAUUAUUCAUAUAAUUGAUUAUAUCAAUUAUAUUACAUAAACUAAUAUACAUUAUAUAAUAUAGCUAACUAAUAAUAUCAUUAUCAUAAAUUUAUAACUAAUUAACUUACAUGUUAUAUAUAAUUAUAUAUAUUUAUAUUUUUUUUUUGUUUUGCGGGGGGCGGGGCGGGGGUAUACUCCCCCGCCCCCCGCCCCGUUUCUAAGCGGGGGGAAAAAAUUCCCCCCCGCCCCGAGAGCCCCCCGCGGGGCGGGCACCCGCGGGCACCCGCCCCCAUUGCCAUCCCUACGAGUCCCUCUAAUUUCAUAAAACUUACAUUUAUUUCAACUUUUUCAUUAGCAUAACUAAUCACCCUUAUAAUCUUAUUGGAUUUCUAAUCACUGGGUCUGUUUGGAUAGGUUAUUAUUUGAGGAAUUAUUUGAAAUAAUUACUGUAGCACUUUUUGUGAUGUGAUGUAUGUGAAAUAAAAGGCGAGUUGAAAAUAUAAAAAGGUGAGUUAGAAAAUAUGUAUUACUCCCUCCGUCCCAUUUUGAUAGUCAUGUUUCUUUUUUCACACAGUUUAAGAAAAAGUAGUUAACUUUGUUGGAAAAGUAAAUUUAGAUUGCUAUUUCCUAAAAUACCCUCACAUUAAAUAUGGUACAAUUUUAUGGGAACUUGAAUUGAUGGUAAAAAAAGAAUCAACUCUCAUUAAAUAGGAUAGGUUUAUAGUAAUAACUACUUACAUUGAAUGAGGGUAUUUUAGAAAAAUUAAAAUACAACUACAUUCUUCAAUUGGAAAGUGGACUACAAUUUGGGACGGAUGAAAAAGGAAUACAGGACUAUCAAAGUGGGACGGAGGGAGUAUGAUACAAGCAAAAUGUAGUUUGGGAUAAUUUCAAUAUCUCAGAGUCUGUUUGUUUGAACUGAAAAUAUUUUCCAAAAAAUAUUUUUGGAUUUUCUGGUGUUUGGCAGCAAAAAUUGUCGGGAAAAUAUUUUCCAGUGUAAAAUCUUUUACACUACAAGGUGUAAAAUGACUUACGGAGCAGGCAUACGGAAGUUAAUUUCCAUCAAACUUAGCGUAUCAAUCAUUUCAGCGCUUACUUAUCAAAAUGCUCAUAACAAAUAAGAAAUACCAAACUGAGACCAUCGUUAAAAAUGCAUCCUUACACCUGCAAUGAAAAACACCAUUGUCAGCCACCUUUCCCUCCUCCUCAUAUUCGCCAAUUCUACUCCUUUUCUCCCAUGCCAGCAUAAACAAUGCAUCCAUGGAGAUGUAGAAAAUCUAUACCAAGAGUGGGUGUUGAUAAGUUUUUGGGUGAGAGAAAUUUGGAAAAGUGAAGGAGAAAUUUGGAAGACUAUUGUGCAGAAAAGUUUGUACUAGAAUUCAAGUGCUACUUUUCCAUAUGAUGUUUGAUCAAUUAUAGUUUAAUUACUGAAGCAAUUUUCGUUGACAUAUUAUGAAUUUGAAUCUUCAUUGGUAUGCUGUGUAAUUGAUUUGAGAAACUAUGAAUUCCCAAUUCUAGAGUUUGAUAGAUUUGGAGAUUGGAUGGAAUCUCUGGGUUGAGAACUUGAGAUGGUAAAUCCAAUGUACAUGGGAUGGUGGUAAUUGGAGAGACUCUAUGGGGAAUCCUUCUUGUAGGUUUUAGUUUUGUGGUACAUUUUCAUAAAACUGCACCAAACACAUGAAAAUAAAGGGAAAUGAAAAUUUUUUCACGAAAAUUAUUUUCAUUGAAAAUGUUCUCCUCAGGAAAAAAUUUUACAUUGAAACAAACAGACUCUUAUUGAUCAUCCUUUUACAUUGUACUACUGUUUCCAUGGGGUGAAAAAAAAUGGCUGAGACAAAAAAAACAAGGCAUAAAAGAAAUUUUGGAGGCGUCAGUAUGGUUUUGCUGAGAUUGGAUAAGUUUUCCUUUUUUUAAUAACACAAAAAGGCCCUCUCCUAGAUGAUUUAAACAAUUCAAGAUUUUUAAUGGAAUAGAUUGUGCGCUAGCAUGUACUAAAAUCCAUAAUUCAUCACGUUUGAAUUUUUAAGUUAUAUUUCCCCCUCUCUCUCUCUCUCUCACACACACACACACACACACAUAUAUAUAUAUAUAUAUAUAUAUAUAUGUUUCCUCAAACUUGAAAUCGAAUUAUUAUUCAUUACCUACAAACUUUUCAAGUUUCAACAGCUCGUGGCUUAAAAAAAUGAGCUCGUUGGAAAAAGAAAAAAAACUGGAGGCAUCCAGUUCUCUGUCCCACUUUGCCCUCCAAGUGCUCGUAGAAACACAUUUCUGCCAUGAAAAAUGAAAAAAAAAAAGAAAAGAGAAGAUAAUCAAGAGAAUGUGUAUAUGUAUCACACAAAAAUAUGCAUUGUAUUGUCAAGACAUUAGCAUUGUAGCACAAGGAAAAUCUAUUUUGUAAUUGUAACUUUUCUUAAGUCACCACCAGGCUAAUUAAUCUGACAACGUAGAAUGGUGGAUUUCGUCAAACCACCGGGAGCAUAGCUCUCUAGUAUUGCAUGUGCGUGUACAGGUACUUGUAUGUCUUACGAAGGAUAACAUAUAAGGCCUGAUAAAUAAAUUCAGCAUUUAAAUUUAAUAGAUUUAUAUUUUAAUAUGUUAAGACGUGUUUUAUAGUCACAAAUUGAAUAUCUGAAUUAAUUAAAGUAACAUUAAAUUUUUUAAACAAAAUUUGCUCUCAAAAAUAAGUGAUGAGCUAUUUACUUAUCACUGAAUGUGAUAUACACUCAAAUAUAUUUGAUUUAACAUUUAACAAUUCAAUAAUUUAAUGAAUUCAUAAUUCAAAUUUCAAACUUUAAUUCUAUCAAAUGCACCCUUAAGUGAACACAACAACCCAACUAAUCUAGUAAAAAAAAUUAAUGGGCUGCUGAUUGAAUGGGGCAUUAGAGCACUCUAAUUCCGAUAUCAACAUCAUUCAACUAUAUGUACGACAGCUCUGGGUGAGAGAUAGUUAUAUUUGAACUUGGACGGUGGGGAUUAAAUUUUAGGCAUAAAUUGUAAUAAGCGAAAAAAUGUUAUUGUAUUUUGUCAUUUUAACAUCUACAUUUAUCGAAUUUGCGUCUACGCCAUCUAGCAAUGGUAGAACCUUUGAUCCGAAAGAGAGGAAAGUGAGUAUCCACAUGCAAGACAGGUGCAUAUCUGACAGAUUAUUGAAAAAGUUAGCUCUUUACUUUCUUCCCCAGUUUGAUCAACCAAACCAUCUUUUUCCUUCUUUUUUCUUUUUUCCCUUUCAUUUUCUCUUCUCUUUCUGGGUAGAAAUCACCCAGCCCAUCUACUUUCACAUGCCGACUACUUGAGUGCGUACAUCUUUUACGUUUUGUUUGCAGAUGCAUGCAUUCUCUACUUGUAGCUCAUGUAAGAAAGCUAACUUUCAAGUAUAUAAGCUUAUGUAAGAAAAUUUGCAAAUAGACCAUUAUUGAUUCCGGGAAAAAACAUUGCCUUUGUUUGAAUAAUUACUAUAACAUUUUUGUAAUGUGAUGGAAGUGAGAUAAAAAUGUGGUUGGAAACAUAAAAUAAUACUACUACAACAGUUAUGUAGGCAAUGAUGCUGUGUCAGGUGAUCUACAAACUUGGCUCGUACUCUACUAAUAUGCUUAGUACGCUUUACUUCUCUUCUUCUUUUUGGCUGCAAGAGCCAACUUUCACGGUUUCGGUUGUAACUCAACUCAGUGGCUUAAUUUGAUUCUGCCUCUGCUGCAACUCCCAGUGGAAUGACAAAAAAUUGCAGGUAGAUUUCUACGUUGCAUUAUCCUGAUAGGCAGGCAGGGGUGUAUCAGUUUUUGGUGGUGGACCUGUCACUUUCUUGGUUAAGAUAUUACACUAAAUUUGUAUACUACGAAAGGGAGAUGCCCCUUGUGCUAAAAGAUGCCUACCAGAAGAAUGUACAAUUCGACAUGAUUGCCACCUCCUGCGUUUUCAUCGUAUAAUGAACCUUGCGGGUAAUAGACUACAAACACAAAUCGCACGACGCCUUGACAUUUCCAACCAACCCCUUUAGAAUGGAUUUAACUGUGCUAUGCUCAGCAAAAUUAUGUAACAAAUGAAAAAGUAUUAUAGGAUUUAGAAAACAGAAAAACCAGCCAGUUCAUCAUGCCUACUACCCGGUUGGUCCCAAAUGGUGGACGGUCACUUCCAUUUGGUACCUACUUUUCAUUGCUGAUUGAAGGUGUACAAGACAGGGUCACCUGUUCACGUGGAUUUAGGAAUUCGAGUGAUUCUGUCCAUCGGGCGAUGCACGCUGGAAUUGGUCUAUGAGGGAGGUGGUGUUGGUCUUGAGUUGGAGGAUGCUUGUGUCGUACGAAACGUGAAUUCUGCUUUAGUUCAUUGGAAGUAAAGAAAAGGAAAUUUAUCCCUAAAUUAUUAAGAAAUUGGUAGGGAGCUCGACUAUUUAAAAAAAAAUUUUUUUUAAACAAUACUAUAAUAUUUGCACUGCACGUUUUGUUAGUCGCACUUCCACCAUUUGUUUUAUCAUAUAAUCUAAUAAAUAAAAAUUACUUUUAUCAUUUAUUUUAUCAUAUAAUCUAAUAAAUAAAAUCAUAUAACAAAAAUGGCGUUUGUUUUAUCAUAUAAUUUAAUAAAUAAAAAUCACUACAUAUAAUAAAAAAUGACAGUGGUGAGGGUGCGAUUAAUAAAAAUGGGAGGGCAAAAUUCUCCUUCUCAAAUAUGGAUCCCAAAUGUUAUCCAACACAUAAAAAGAGGGAAAGUUAACAUUGGCACAGGUUUCCGCUGUCCAUCGGGCGAUGCACGCUGGAAUUGGUCUAUGAGGGAGGUGGUGUUGGUCUUGAGUUGGAGGAUGCUUGUGUCGUACGAAACGUGAAUUCUGCUUUAGUUCAUUGGAAGUAAAGAAAAGGAAAUUUAUCCCUAAAUUAUUAAGAAAUUGGCAGGGAGCUCGACUAUUUUUUAAAAAUUUUAUUUAAAACAACACUUUAAUAUUUGCACUGCACGUUUUGUUAGCCGCACUUCCACCAUUUGUUUUAUCAUAUAAUCUAAUAGAUAAAAAUUACUUUUAUCAUUUAUUUUAUCAUAUAAUCUAAUAAAUAAAAAUCAUAUAACAAAAAAUGGCGUUUGUUUUAUCAUAUAAUUUAAUAAAUAAAAAUCACUACAUAUAAUAAAAAAUGACAGUGGUGAGGGUGCGAUUAAUAAAAAUGGGAGGGCAAAAUUCUCCUUCUCAAAUAUGGAUCCCAAAUGUUAUCCAACACAUAAAAAGAGGGAAAGUUAACAUUGGCACAGGUUUCCGCUUCUCUGGCCCUAUUGGAAUUCGGUUGGGGGAUUGGACCAAAUACUAGUUGAAUUUUAAAAGCGUGCUCUUCUUGAAAAUCAUGUCACAUCAAAUACCAUUUUUUUUUAAGCUCGAGACCCUCACUUGAUUUCGAUGCAACGGAUCUUCUGUACCAUAUCCUAUCUCACAUCCUGUCUCACUCCUUAAAAUCUCGCCAAGUGUCCCUUAAUAAACCAAACCCUUAAACAAUUCAACUCGGACCAUAUUAAGUUAAUUAAUCGAUUAAUCGGACAAAGAAAUUUAAUCUCUUUAACCAAUAUAACCAAAACCAAGAAAAUAAAAAACUCUUUAACCAAAAUCACAAUUUUUCAACGGAAAAAACCCUAAAAUAUUAAAAAACCUCUGUCCGAGUUCAUCAUCUUCACCAUUCAGCUUUGACGAAAUAUUCACGGAUAAAGCUUCGAAGCUCUUCCCAGAGGUGAGAAACAAGUUAUUUCUUAAAAACCUUGGUGGGGUUCUUCGAAGCUCUUCGCAGGCCAAUUUGAUGUGAUUUGCUAAGCUUAGGCACUUGAUCUAGUUUUCAGCUUCAAAUUGGUCUGUUGAUACACACCUUUGAAUUAGUUUUGCUAUAUCCUCAAUUGCAGGGAAGAAGUAAGAAAUUGGUUAUAUUCUCUAGUGUGUCUGUUUUAGUGUUUUGGAACUUAGGUGUAGAUGAUUUUGGAGGGUAACAAGUUUGCGUUUAUCUUUUGCUGAUUGAGGGAAUUUUUCUUCUAAUUUGCAGCUUCCAGUCUGAAUGUUUCAUCUGUUAAAUUGUCUGAAAAUUCGGUAUCUGCUGGACGAAGCACACCACCUGUUCGAUCAAAUGCCUAAGAGGAAGAUGAAUCAAACUGUAAGGUAAAAGUCUGACUUGGUUGCGCCCAUAUUUUUGCUAGUAGAGCAAAACCUCUACUUCAAAUGUUGUCUACCAUUUUAACCUUUUUUCCCCUCAAAUGUUAAAUAUGUGCCAUUUGGAUAAAUUGCCAUUUUCAUAUUUCAUUUGUUUCAAUCAAUGUUUUCCGUAGCAGAUUUUUUGGGUUCGUCUCGAACUUUCUUUUCCUCCAAUCAACUCUGUGUUCUCAAUUUUUUCUAGUUUCAUCUUCCUAGAAAGGAAAAUGGAGUGCAAUAUUGAAAACUCUAUAAACUCUGAGAAAAAGUGAUCAAGGUUUGACAAUUUAUUUUGUUUAUGUGAACAAUGCUAUUUUAUUGUUUGACUAUUAUUUUUUUUUGGUUCCUUAGUUCUACGAUGAAUGAUGAGCAUGGAAAUAGUAUUGGGAUCCUUAUUUAUAAUUUGGAUAAAAAUGAUUGUAGGAAUCUGGAAAUAAUGUUGUUCAUUCAAGUAUGGAUUCUAUUACAAUUCAAGGUUUUGUUCGAGAAUUACCACCACAACAGGUUUAGUUAUUCGUCAUUUUUCUCGUGUAUAGUAUAGUAGAUAUGUAAUUCAUUCUAAAUUUUUAUUUGAAUAUUUUAUUCUUAAAUGACUAAACUACAUUGAAGGUAUAUUUUGUCAAUGAUAUUUUUAAUUCGUGAUUGUCUCUCUUUAAUUAUAUCAGGGAUUUGGAAUUCCAAUAGAAGACUCUUGCACCCUUUUGUCCAGAUGAAGAUUUAUAACCAGCCAUGUAUGCUCCCUCAGCUCGCAAGAGGGGCACUCAGUUUGGAUAGAACAGGUUUUCCAUCGGUCAGGCUUCUUAAAAGGACGCCGGGAUGAUGGUCACAUGCUUCAUGUUGCCUGUGACACGGAAAUGCGCUAGGGAGAUAUUUGUACUUUCACAGUUUCUUUGCUUGCAAUAAAAAGAUAUUUACUUAAAAAAAAAAAAGAAUUCCAAUAGAAGACAUCUGCAAUAGGCAAAAUACUAAGAACAUGACACAAUUAUUACAAGUAAGUGAAUAUUAUGCUUUUUGUAGAUAUUAUGUCAACCAUUAGUUGCAUGUUGUUUCUUAUCUAUCUCAAUUUUUUCCAAAUAUUAUAGUUUUGCAAGUUUACAGCUGUUUGUUUGUAUUUGUGGUCUUUUAUUUCUUAUUUUUCUGACAGACGUUGAACCCUAACUUCUACCAAGGCUAUGAUUUGAUGUCUUCAAGUUCAAUAGCACAACAGCAUGCAUCAAUAAGUUUAGUCCAAGUAAGGAAAAACCUUGAUUAAUUAUUUAAUCUUAUAUAUAUUAGUUUGAUAAUUUACAAUUAUAAUUCAAUAUAUUUGCUAACUUUGGGUCUGUUUUUGUAGGCACAAGAACUUGAAAAUAAUGAUGAUUCUGAUCAACAAGUUGUUGAAAAUGGGAAAAUUGAAUGAAGAUGCUUAUGAAGAAAUGGAGGACAAGACUGUGGGAUUGCGCUCAUGGAUUAAUUAGACCUUUAAGUGGAAUAAUACUUUGUGCUUAUACUUAUUGAUUUUGAUAUUUUUGUUCAAAUAUCUGUUAAUAAACGUUCUUCUGACUAAACUGUAGAACAUGAGAUAUAUUAGUUGAGCUGCCCUGGAUUCUUGAUGCAUACAAGAAAUCGUCUUUUGAAUGUUCCUCAGCUUUGCAUUUGUUUAACCAUACAAUAAGAAAACCCAGAUUUUUGUUUGGCUUUUAGAUUAAUUUUGCAACUUGAGUAGACAGAAAUUAGAGAAAACCAGCAAAAUAAAGCUGCAUUUUCGUUCCUUUUUUUUUUCUUCUUCUUUAAUGUUUGAGCUACCACGCUAUUUUUUCAAUGUCAGUAAGAUUUUGCAUCGGACUUUAUUCUGCAGGAGAGAGACUUGUCUUAAGAUUGAUCCUUAGACUCACAAGUCAAACAACUAAAGCUUAUAACCUUACCAAGGUACUCCGAAAACUUGUUCUCUGAUUCUAAACAACUCGGGACCAAUCUCGUAUUUGACUGUUGACACCAAAUUGUAUAUAUAAUCCAUAUAACAAUGCUGAAAUUCCCGAAAUAUGUCCAUAAACCAGGCCCUGUACACCUCUUAUUCGAAUGGAAGGAUAAGAUUCAGCAACAAUUUAAAUGCAGAUCCUCUACUAAUAGUAAAAACAAGUACAAACUCAUUCUCAAGAAUGUUCAAGUAAUCCAUAAUUUUGGUUUUAAUAUCAUGCUCCACAGUACCUUCCUCUGCACCCCAAUGAAGUACAUGAUUGCUCAAAUUUGCAGUAAUUUCCUUUAAGCUAAAUGUAGAUGAAUCCCAAUACUGUAGCGUUUGAAAACAAGAAAACAACCCGUACAAAGUCAAUUCUCAAUGAUCAAUUGUUUCUCAACAUUGGAACUUUGGGUACAAAGUCAAGAACCAACAAGAAGGCUUCAUUAAAGCCAGGAAUGGAUUCAUCAGUGCAAAAUGUCCUUUCAGACAAAAGAGUAGUUGCCCUCAAGAAUUCCUUUGGGCAUUAAGCCUUGCAAGAGAUAUUGACCUUCCCAAGCAGCCAUCUUGAUUCAAAGACUCAGAGUCAAUUUCAUGUGUUUUUACGAAGUGACCCAUCUUCAGAAGCCUCCUCGAGAGCCCCCCUUAGUUUGUUCUCCGGCGAAUUCUUGAGAGUUGAUGGCUCUGCCUUACCCCACUCCUCAUCCUCCUCCACGCAAGAACCUUUUCCUCUCCUACUCUUCUUGUCCAUCAUCAAGGUUGCACAGAAUGAUAUAGGCUUCCAUAGUCUCAGAUGCAGUAACACGAAUUAGUUCCAGUUGACUGCAAAAACCUAUCAUCAUAUCAUAUACCCCUGCAGUAUUAGGGAAAAAGUUACAAGCUUUACAUGAUUGAAGCUUCGUUAUGCAUGACAUUCUGCAAAUAAGAGAUUACAAUUAUCUAAGUUACAUAAUUUUCAUAAACAUUGAACUUUGUAAACAGUAACAAUGAAGUGAAUGAAUACAUAAACCCUGUAACUAGUCACACUAAUGCAUGUCAAGAUGGCACCUCUAUCCAUAUACACCAAAACCAGAAAACCAUUGCAAUUUGCUGCAGCAAAUGUAACUUUAAAAUUAUCGGUAAAGUUAUCCUUUAAAAUUUAGAAAAACUAAACGUAACAAAAGAACUUUGGGGGAAAGAGAGAGAGAGACCAUUUCUCUGUUAGUUGCACAGCACCCCACAAAGAAUUUGAAAAGCAUGGUGAUUAAAACAAGGAAAUUCUUCAUUUUUCAGACACAGGAUAAAAAUUGUUAUGCAGUUUCUAGCUUCUUUUUUGAGCUCACCAUUUAAUAAAGCUUGACAAGUUAUAAGGAUGGCCUACUGAGUACAAUCAUCAGUAGUAAAACAAUGAUCACACAUGUUUCUUGGCUUUAAUUCAUAGUUACAGAAUAAAAAAAAGAGCGUUUUUUUGAGAAGCACUUACCUUUAGGCCUUAUCAGGUUUUAGAUGAUCUCAUCUGCCAAAGACAGAGAUAGAUUUCCCAAAUGAAACCAGCAGGUUGACCAAUAAUACUACUACGACUAAUCAAGAUUAUGAAUCAAAGACCAUCCAUUCAUUGUUGAUCAAUAAUACUACGACUAAUCUAAGAUUAUGAAUCAGCAUUUGAUAAAAAUUUCAACUCAUGGACUAAUUAUCAAAUGCAUCAAAUAAAUUUGCGACACGAAAGAGUAGAAGGGAGACAAGAAUCGCAUGUGCCAGCACAAAAAAGUAACCAUCAUGCAAACUUUAACAUAUUUUCUAACUACUAAUUACAAGCCUACGGGUAGUCCUAAUAAACAAAAUCAAACGUAUAAAACGCAAAACACCCUCCUAAUAAAUAUAGGCGCAACCAAGUCAGACUUUUACCUUAUAGUUUGAUUCAUCUUCCUCUUAGGCAUUUGAUCGAACAGCUGGUGAGCUUCGUCCAGUACAUACCGAAUUUUCAGAAAAUUUAACAGAUGAAACAUUUGGAGUGGAAGCUGCAAAUUAGAAGAAAAAUUCCCUUAAUCAGCAAAAGAUAAAGGCAAACUUGUUACCCUCCCAAAAUCAUCUACACCUAAGUUCCAAAACACUAAAACAGAGACACUAGAGAAUAUAACCAAUUUCUUACUACUACACACAUGCAGUUGAGGAUAUAGCAAAACUAAUUCAACGGUGUGUAUCUAUACCGAUUUGAAGUUGAAAACUAGAUUAAGUGCCUAAGCUUAGCAAAUUACAUCAAAUUGGCCUGCGUAGCUAGAAAGAAAAUGCCCUGAAAGCAAAUUAUUUUUUAAAAAAAAGUUGCAAAGAUUACCGGAACCGUUCAAAUUCUGGAGGUAGCAAAAUUAAGUCGCAUGCUCAAACAAAACUUCGGAAGCGGAAGUACCCAUUACCCAGUACAACUUUACACUAAAACUAAAUAUUUGUUUCUCACCUUUGGGAAGAGCUUCGAAGCUUUAUCUCAUCCUCGUAAAAAAGUUAUUUCUCAUGGGAAGAGAUGAUGAAGAGGACAGAGGACCUCUGGGAAGAGCUUCGAAGCUUUAUCUGUGAAUAUUUCGUCAAAGCUAAAUGGUGAAGAUGAUGAACUCGGACAGAGGUUUUUAAUAUUUUAGGGUUUUUCCGUUGAAAAAUUGUGAUUUUGGUUAAAGAGUUUUUUUUCUUGGUUUUGGUUAUAUUGGUUAAAGAGAUUAAAUUUCUUUGUCCGAUUAAUUGAUUAAUUAAUUUAAUAUGAUUCGAGUUGAGUUGUUUGAGGUUUGGUUUAUUAUGGGACACUUGGUGAGAUUUUAAGAAGUGGGACAGGAUGUGAGACGGGGUGUGGUACAGAAGAUCCGUUGCGUGAUUUCGAGCCCGAUAACUUUCAGUUACACUCCUUCCUCGUAUCAUCCACUACUCAGUAAUUGUAGCAAUUACUUUCCAUUCCACGGCUGGCUUUCUAAUGCCACACCUAGUUUCUUUUGAAAUGGCAAAUUUGCAUUGCUUGGAUUAUUUGUUUCCGUCGGAAAAUAUUGUCUUUUUUCGUGAUUACAUUUUCCUAUCACCUUUUUCCCUCACAUAUAUCAAAUCGUUACAGUAAUUUUUCCAUGAAAAAUGACAGAAAAUGUAAUCCAAAUACAACCUUAUACUUUUCAAAGUGUAUCAACUUUUAUUAUUGAAGGACAUAAUUGUUAUUUUAAUAGAUAUUUGCUAUGGAAAAAAAAGGGUGCUAUGGAUGUAUCAUUUGCCAUUUAUAUUAUGAUCCGAAUUCCAACUGAAUACUUCAACAUGUAAUUCUAAUUUAGGAAGUUAUUCCUAAACCUAGUCAUUGGUAUUACACCAAUGUGAUUGCUUUAUUAUACCUUGAUGAUUUUUCAAUUGUGUACCAUCCCAUUUUUUUAUCAAGAUAUGAAACCAUGACACAGUGUCGAUGGAUUUAAAAAAAAAAAAAUUAAAUAUGCUUCUUUAUUUUUCAAAGUUAGGCCCAACAAAUUUAAAAGGCAUACAUGUAAAUUGAAUUAGUAUACAAUCUUUUCUUCUCAUCCUUCUUCAACUUCCAAACAAAAGAGAAUUAAGACCUUUUUUUUUAAACUCCCAACCAAAUUACAUAUUUCCUCUUCUUUCUUAUCUCUCAUCUUUGCUGUAUAUAAAGUCAUUUUGUGAUAAAAGAAAGUGCCACUCGAUGUUUUACAAAUUUACCCCAUUUUUUACAGGGCACUACUCCACUUAAUACUAUCAAAAGAAAAAAACCCCACACUUACUUAAAAACCUUCUAGUUUUAAGGCUUUUAACCACCUGUGUAUAACCAACUAAAAACCAUCAAUUGGAUUAGAACCAAGAAAAGGAAAAAAGUGCAAAAAGUCAACAGAUUAUUUCAAGUAAAACUACUAAUUUUCAUUUUUUUGAUAAAAAAAACGAGGGUAAACUACACUUUAACUCCGUAUGGUUUAGCAAUUUUCACAUAACCUUCGUGUGGUUUCAAAAGCUACACGUGAUCUCCUUAUGAUUUAGAUUAAAGUGUUAAAGUAAUGAAAUUCUGCAUUACAUAUAAUCUCAACAAAUUAUUUUAGGCGAAGUUUCAUGAUAUUUUUACGAGCUUUCCAUAUUUGAUAAUCUAUUUAUUUCGAUAUUGAUUGGGUUAAAGUGGCAUAUGUAAUGCGAUGUGGAAUUGCGCUUGACUUGGAUGGGCGCCGAUCCACAGUUUUAUGAAGUUUGGGAUGUCUCGAUCCCUCGAUGUCCAAGGAGCAUAAUUUUGUAUGCAACUACGGUUGUGUUAAGAUUGUAAUUUAAAAAAAAAAAUUUUUGUAGAAAUGAAUUAUAAUGAUUUGAUAUGUGUAAGAUAAAAAUGAUUUGAAAAUGUAGAGAUUUUUUUGAUGAAAAAUUCAUUUCUAAACAAGGCAACAUUCAUGUACGUAUAUAUCAAGCUUUAAAAUUCAAGCAGCACGAGCUUUACAAAUAACUGGCAACUGCCAGCUAGUCUUUGUGCGCAUCCAAAUUGAGCUACAUCGUAAGGAGCCCUUCUCUAGGUUUCAUGUUAGAGGUUAACAGCCAUUUUGGCUAACCUAUGACUACACAUGUUCACUUCUCUUCCGAUGAAGGAGAAGUUACAUUUUGCCAAAAAGGGUUUACUAAGGGAUGUAAUAUCACCGCUACUUACAAUAUCUAUAGUGGAAGUGCAUAGCAGCUUUGGUUAAUUAUAAAUGUCUACAACAGAUUUAUAAUCAGACAGGAUCAACACAUCCUCCAAUUUAACAAGGAACUCAAAAUAAAUACAGUGAUUCAUGGUAAAUUUCCCACUGUAUUUGUCUUCUCGAAAUUCAGCCGGUUGCUCAUUUCAUCACACCAAAAGAUUUUGACUCUAAAAAAGGGCAAAAAAAAAAAACCUGAAAAUCCAAACAUCAGCUCUUGUGUUCGAGCUUAUAAGGUCAAGCCUCGAACACUACACGACAACCGGCCUUUUUCCUUUUAGCUAUAUAGCACAAUCCGCACCUUAAAUAUUAAACUCAUUUCUAUCGUCGAUAACCUUGCAAUCUACGGCUCCGAUCUUAGCUUACCCUCUUCGACGCGGAUUGAAAAUGUUGUCCGUCGAUUAGCAUCACAAUAUCAACGGCCCGGUUCGCUGCCCGCCACAAUUCGAAGCCGCUACCUCGCCAAUAUAUAGCAAUCCCACCCGCUGUCAAAACUCGUUCAAAUAUUUUUAUUUCCAAUUGUUCUCUCAGAGAAUUUCAGAAAACCCUAGAAUUCAAAAUCUCCUCCCACCUUCUCUGCAAAAAUGUCUGGCCGUGGAAAGGGUGGCAAGGGUCUGGGCAAGGGCGGAGCCAAGAGGCACAGGAAGGUUCUAAGGGAUAACAUCCAGGGCAUCACCAAGCCAGCCAUUCGUCGUUUGGCCAGAAGAGGCGGCGUCAAGAGAAUUUCUGGGCUGAUCUAUGAAGAACCCGUGGAGUCCUGAAGAUUUUCCUGGAGAAUGUCAUCCGUGAUGCUGUGACCUACACGGAGCAUGCUCGCCGCAAGACUGUUACUGCUAUGGACGUGGUUUAUGCUUUGAAGAGGCAGGGUAGGACUCUUUAUGGAUUUGGGGGUUAGGUUUCUCGUUAGUGCUCGAAUUGGGUUGGGGAAGGGGGAUUGGUAGGUUAUCUUUUGUUAUUGAGAUUGAGCUUACAUUGUAAUUAACAUUACAUUUGCAGAUCAAUGGAUGUUAGGAUUUCCACUAGUUGGACAAUUAUGAUGACUAUUGAGGAACUGAGCAUUCAUUUUCCUGAACUUUCUCGUUUGAGCAGCAACUCUUUAUGUUGUUGACAUGAAUUUAUCUUUGUUAGUGAUCUUUGCAGGGCCUUUUGUUUUGCUAUGUUCAUUCGAUGCAUUGUCUUGCCUUUAUGUUUGAUGAGAAUGUGAUUGUUUAAACGUGCAGCCUAGCUGUGGUUUCUUAUGGUUGAAAUGGCCUUGGUUGUGAAAUAUUGAGUAUUUUUUACUUAGUUGUCGUUUGACUCAUGGAUUGCUUAAAUGACGAGUUUGUUUUAGGAUUUGCAUUGCUAUGUAUUUGGUGGAUGUCCUCUGUUUCCUGCCUUUGGUCAAUGGCCUUUUGGUUACUACCUACUUGGUCAAGUUACUGCAGAUAUUGAAAUUCUGAGCGGUUUCAUCUUCUUACCAUUGGAUCUAUUUGAUGUUGAAGGCAGUUUUUGGCUGUGGCGAUGUGUUGGUGCGGUUUUAACACAAGCAGACCUUAACUUGAGUGAUAUGAAUAAUAACACCAGUGCUCUGAUUGACAGUACUGCAAUCUAACAGAAAGUUUGUCUCCUUAUUGGUUCUUGAACUCAACUUUGCAGUUUGGAGAAAAGAUUGAAACAGGGGCCAUACAAACUUUAGGACUUAGACCUGGGACAAUGAUAGGCCAUUCAAUUACUGUGUUUGGUUUAGAGAUUACAUUUGAAUUUUUGUUUUAUGUAGUGUUAAUGGCUGAGGGCUUUAUUGCUGCUGUUGCUGUUUUGCUAUGUGGUUUGUCUAAAUGCUCUAAUUGCCAGGUUUCUAUUAUCUUGUUUGCCUUUAAAAUGUAACUGAAAACUUUUCUUGAGAUUUUGUGGAGUUUUGGGAGAUUUUGCAAGUGGUGACAAUAACAUUGGCUUUUGCCUUGGACAUAUGAAUCAUUAUAGGCACUUAGACUUGUUCGUUCAAUAGAUUAACAUUGUAGAGUUAUGUAAUAAGCCUGCUGCCUGCAUCCUUGCUUGGAAGAUGCCUUUGCAGUCUGACAUUAAUCAAAACCAUUUAUGAGCUGUAUAAAUUAACAGAUCUUGCUCUGCUGAGCUCUAGCUUCAUUUGCCUCCGCAUUUCACUUAAAAUUUUGAAAGCAUUUGACUUGAUUUAUGUAUGCUUUCAACUGAAAACAUAAACAAACAGAUCAACCUGUCACUAAUAUUUUUGAGUUGCAAGCUGAAGACAUUUGUGAUUGAGAUUGUUUCAGGGUGGGGGAAUCCUUGGCUGUUUCAACGGGAGCAUAUGUGCUCUCUCUGUGGACUAGCUUUAUCAUGCAUGUAUCGUCCUAUUGCUAUUUUGCUCACAAUGAGUAAUGGACGGGACAAGUUUGCUCCGCUGCAGUGGAGUCGACAAACUUGUUUAGUUAUGACGUCUCAAGUUAAAACCAAUGCUCCCCUUUUAUUCUCACUGCUAUUUUUGUGGUCUUUAUUUUCCCGCAGUGCAACCCAUGACCAACAAACUUGUGGAAGAUGAAAUUAAGGAUCUCCUCUGGUGCGUAUUGUUUUUUUCGUGGUCCAGUUCACGGCAUUCCAGGAAUCGAAAUCGUGCAACAAUGAAUGACUUGUACAGCUGAUAGCUGUAUACUUAUCAAUGCAAUUGAAUUCUAAUAGCCAAGUAUUUUGGAUUCUCAAAUAGAUGCACAACAAAUCGGGGGUCAAGAUGAGGUUUUUUUUUUUUUUUUUUUGGUAAUCUGAUUGUUUUUGAAUCUAUUCGAUUAAUUAAAUAGAUGCGCCACAAUUCAAUUCUGUUUCUUUGAUGUGUAUUAACUUAAUUUUAAUUAACAACAUCUCCUCUUUUCUUUUACAGGCUAGCAUCUAAACCUUGGUUGCCUGCUUUAGUUCGUUAAUAAAAUAUCUCCAAUCAUUCUAUCCUCGAAAACGAACAGAAAAGCUGUAAAUUUGUUCCCGAAUGAGUAGAUUAGCAGAGGUUACGUUUAAGAUCAGCUGUAAUUCUUGCACAUGAUAUUCCCACAUAAACAGUGCAACCGCCACUGCAAAAAAGGAGAAUGACCUCUAUCUACACGAGUUUUUGCUACAGUAACAUUUUAUUAGUCAAGGGUUCACAGCUCAGAAUCACUGUAUAAAUGCAUUCUACUGGCUAGGCCUCCAUACCCAAAUCUCCAGCAUAAAAUAAUCGCACUUGCUCGGAAUCUGCUUCAAUGGAUUCCUCCAAAGUUUUUAUUAGUCUUUUCACUCUUAUUAAAGUCAUAAUCUGUUUGUGCUCAAUCCAAGCUGUUUCUGCAUCACAGUCAAACCUUUUCCGAGAAUACAUUGGGGCAGAGUUCAAGAAUGUCAAAUUCUCUGACGUACCAGUUUACUCCAAUGUCGACUUCCACU